GUAAAUUGGUCAAACAAGCGACUUCUAUACUUACUACUGUAGUAUAAUUAACUCUUUGGCUGAAUCUGAAACAAGCAACUUCAAUAUAUCAGUACACUAACAUCUGAAAUAUGCUUGCAUGCCAAAGCAUUGCUGGCCGAGCUAUCCAGUGACAAAUAGCACCAGCACCGCAGGUGCUAUCCAGCAUUCAUUAGCCAAAAUCAGAUAAGAUCGACCAAAAAGACACAAACAGAAGUGGGACAUAAGAAAUUUGACAUCAAAGUCUCCCAACCUGGUACGACAUGGAACAUAACCAAACGGAAACAGUGAAAAGAUGAACAGAGACACAAGAUGUACGCAAAGAUCAGGCAGGCAGGCAAGAUUGUUUCGACCCGCUUUCUUGGAAAGCAUAAAGCAAAUGCACCACAGGUACUGAUUAUUCGAAGCAAGUCACUGUGUCUUCAUCAUGCCAGUUGGCUAACUGUGUCUCGAAAAUUAGAUUACUGAGGGAAGUUGUCAAAUUGAACGAUUAACUGGUUGAACAGUGCAUGCAACGUAGAGGGUUGAUCUCCGUAUGAAGCAUUACAAUAUGGAAGAACCCGCAGCGACGAAGCCAAUUCCUGCAUCUCAGCAAUCUAGGUACCUGUGAACAAUCAAUAUCAUUAGUCAAACCAAUCUGUACUAUUCAUUAAUGAAAAAUAAUUAAAAGUUAUAGAAAAUCUCAAAUUUGUUUUAAAAUAAAAAUGGAAAUUGUACCAAUAAACUCCAAGGUUCGAUCAUCUCAGCAUUAUCCGGAAAAGAGAAAAAAGCCAUAGAAACAGAGUAUCGCAAUAGGUAAUUUGUAGUGUGGUAGCCACACUAUCAACUACCUUCCAUAGAGGCAAAUCCUGAGCCAUCUAGAUAAGCAAAUCAUAUGAAAUAUUCUUUAUUUUAAAAAAUAAAGACCAGUAGAGGAGGAGCCCUGCAGCUUUUUUAAUUAAGAGAGAAGAUGUGAGACCCACAUUCAAACCCACAAAAUUGACACCAGUAUGGCCAAAUAACGUCCACGGGGCUCGAACCUGCGCCGGCUCGAAUGCACAGCAGCGCUCCAACCACUAGGCUAAGAGCCCGUCCACUAACAAAUUGACUUAUGUUAUCAUGGACAUAUCACGGGUUCAUGGAUUAGAAAACCAGAUAAUUCUGGUUUCUAACUCAAAGGCAUAUGUUUUAGAAAUGUAUGAGCUAUCUGGUCACUAACAAAUUGAAUACAAUCAAAUUCAUGCCAUACAAGCCUCGAGCAAGGGAUCAUAUAUUAUCUUAUUAAUUUAUUUAUAACUCCUUUGGUAGAAAAUAGAAGUCAUUUUUUAUGCAGCACAACAUCACAAAAACAACUCUCACCAGACCACUACUAAUAUUUCAAAAUACAUUGCAUAUUAGGUUUCGUUAGAAAAAGCCUUUGACCAAUGGUUACACUAUUAGUAUAUAUUUAUGCGACAAAAAAUUAUUGACCUUUGACUCAUAUUCCAAAGUACUUAUAUAUGGUUAUGAUUUUGUAUCACAUAAGCUACAAACUACUAGAGUAAACGUUUGUGAAAGGCUUGUACUACCAAAAUUUAAUAUGCAGUGUAUUUUUAAACCAAGGGUGUAUGUUAGUAAAAGUAAAAAUUGUGAUUCAUGAUACCGCACAGAACUAAACGGAGGGUGUCAAAAUUGAAACAUAGCUACAUGUAGCUUAAACCAGACAAACUAUACUAGUGUCCAAUAGCGAAUCACAUAUGCAAGUUACAUUGACAACGAGGGGUGUGUACUACCUACCAACAGAAAAAACCGUACAGAAAAUAAUAAUUGCAAGCAAUUGGCCAUCUGAGAAGCUAGAGGGAGAAGAACCUGCACUACCAGAAGCAACUGGGGGAGUAAGAGGUAGAAGAGUUCGUACAACCAGGAGGAGAGAAACUGAACACAAGGGAACUGGAUGGAAGGAGGGCAAGCGAAAGGGCACAUCCAGGCGGGAGAACAUCAGUCAGCCAUGAAAAGCUGGUGAAGUGAAAGCACGAUGAAGGGAAUAGAAAGCUGGUAAGGAUAGGGAUGAGGAAGCACGGCAUGGAUAAAUUAUCCAAGACGCAGCCAGCCAUGAAAACAUGAUAUGAGGUAGCCAGGUGGGUAACAACUGAGCCAAGUGUCAUAGAGAGAAUCUUGGAGUCCUCUCUUGCAAUUUGGUAAUUGACAAACGGUACUUAAAAGGAAAUCAAUUUGUUUUUCGAAAGAACAUUUCAAUAUACCUCAACUUACAUGCAGAAAAUAAGCUUACCUGCUCAACCAGCACAUCAUAAUAAGCAUAUCUAACAGACAAUCACUUGUGGAUUGCCCACAAGUUCAGCCCCAUCAUGUUCACCGCCAAUGCCUAUCCCUACAAGCAUAAUAAGUCAAACAAUGAACCAACCAAUGAAAUUCCAACCGAAGGCCAAAUAGACAGGAGAAAACACCAACAAGAUAUUUAGUUAAAACUGACAUGUGUAAUUUGAGAAAAAACAACUCAGCUUUGAUACAACAAUAGGAAUAUAUAACAAAACCAUAGUCAUUGUGAAAUUCAAAGAGCAUCCCCACAAACAAUGUAUAGUGAUUAAUAUCGUAAAAAUGAAGAACAUGCACACUCAGACUAUUAUAGCUAACAAAAAAGAGAAGUUGUCUAGAAUUGUUUUUAAACUCAUUCCCCAACAUUUGAACAAAACGAAGCUCAUACUAAUAACUAAUAGCAACAGAAGUGAUAAUGACUAUUCAGAUUUUGAUUAUCUUCAAACAAAUUUAGCGUGAAAAUUUGCCAAUUUUGGUGUUUCUUGUCAGUUCAUAUGGAUAUUCAUACACUAGAUUGACUUGCUAGUUCAUAACCAUUACAUAAAACGGCACCACACAAGUGUCAGGAUCAGGACAGAACACUACAACACAACAGCACUAUAUAUUGAAGAGGUCAUCAAACAUCAAAAUAAUCAAUUAAUAUGUGGUACUAUUUAACAUUGUUAGGUUGGCAUGAGAGGAUGCGAAUGGCAUUCCUUCGGUGUAAAGGCAUGCUAUUACCUGCAGCAUAGACACUUUCGAAUGCAUGAUGAUGUUGAUCAAAAAUGUUGUCAAUCCUGCAAAGUUGCUUGGAUUGCAAUGACUCAAGCUGUACCAUGAUGACACCAUCACCACCCGUCAGGAAGACCACAUUAUUUUCAUCUGCAAACCCUAAUAUGAAUAGGGGCGCAGUCUCGUCUGAAUAAGGAGAAAGUAGCUUGUCCAGUUGAAUGGUCCUUCCCAUCCCCCAUGAUGCAACACCAUCACAGUCGGUAUUCCUCUUCCAUAAUUGUGCGGUGAGGCCUGACAGGGAGAGUAAACCUAGCCCACCACCCUCGGCCCGCGUAACAGUGAAGCUAUUCUCCUCACCAACUGGCACUCGUAUCACAGCCAAGCUCUGCCUCUCCAAAUCAAACUCGAGAAGAGCACAGAAACACCCAGCAAGACGCCAGUACAAGGAAUUCCCAACCAAAACGGCCGACAAGCCCGUACAAUAAGCCGGGGCUGGAAUUGGUGUUAAGAUAAGAUCACCCCAUCCGCCGGUCUCUGACGAAUAAACGCAGGCGAGCACUUGCAAAUGCUGUUUGUCCCAUAUGGUGGCCUGUACCAGGACCACCUGGAAAUGGUCCGCCUCGCCGGCAGCACGAAGCACUCCCCCAUGAAUCUGGUUUUUGAUCCCGUCGAACCAUGGGGGAAAGGCGAUGCGGUGCUGGUCGCCGGUGACGGGGUCCCACACCAGGAUUUGCCUCGGUAAAUCGUGGGAGAUGAGCACAAGGCCAUGUUGGCAGCCGAGGAGCGAGAAGCCGUAGCUGUGGUCGAGCCGCAAGGAGAAGCGCCCGGCGGGGACACGGUCGGGGGGAUCCAUGGUAGGCUCGUAGGAGAUGCCUCGGCUGUCAUGGAUGAAGUAACCGAGGAGGGGAGGGCUGUGGCGGUGGUGCUCGCGGAAGCGGUGGAUGAAGCCGGGGUCGGAGACGAGAAGGCGCCAGCUCUUGCAGACGAGGGAGGUGCGGGGGAGGGUGGAUGGCAGCGGGGGAAGGCGGAGGAGGAUUUCGGAGAGUAGGUUUUCGUCCUCCAGCGGCGGCGCCGCCGACGACAUCUCGCGCCGCUGUGCUUUUUUUAGGGUUUCUACUAUGCGGCGAAAUGCUGGGGUCGAAGCAGCCGCCAGAGCGUGAGAAGUGCAGCAGGUUAGCCUGCGAGUGUGACUGAAAAGCCCACUACCAUGAGAGUGAAAGCCCACGACUACAUCAUCUCUCGGUGUGUGCGGCCCGGCAGGAAGUUUCAGCUAAUCCUUUCGGCUUUGCCUAAGAAAACAGAAACAAAAGUUUCUAAAAUAGACUAAUCCUUUUGCUGCAACCCCUAAAAUGGGGCCAUCCUGCCUUCAAAAAAUAAAAUGAGGCUAUCCUAAGCCUUUUGUAAUGCAUCUCGAAAGGAAAUUUCUUUGGAAAUAGUAGCAAGAAACUUGUCAAAUAAAAAAAAGAUACACUUGGAAUUUCAUUGUAGAAAAGAACUAGCGAUCUUUUUUUUUUAUUCUAUAUAGAAGCCAUCACCCUUAACUUGUCAAUCAAAACAAUUGAAAUGUGCUACACAUUUCUUACUACCAUUAACUGGGCAAAGGUUUUGCCUCGUUUUAAAGAAAUAGUUCUUGAGCGAUCAAUAUAUAGUUAUAUAUUAGUCCUUGUAUAUAAUAGCAGAAGCUUCGCCAUAUGCAUUUGAGCCCGAUUUCUUGCCUUCGAAAUCAGACAUUCUUAGAUAUAGUCACUUCACUCUACCGAAAGUUUUUUCCCCUCAUGACAUCACUGCGAUUUCGCAUGUGCCGCGGCUAAGUCAACACAUAAACAAGGUAGCUUUUCGAAGCUACCACGCUAAACAUGAAGGCAACUUCCCAAGCCGUUGCCCCGAUUUCACUAGCCGUUACCAUCCGACAGAAGACCAAACCUCAAGCGAUACCUCUCAGAGGAAGCGACGAGCAUGCCAAUGACGCCCACUCCAGCAAAGCCGAAAUUUUGGUUUUCACCUGGAGAGCCAUGACUCAAAUGUCGAGCCCUAUCACAGCUCCAGCCAUGGCGAGGCAUGGAACAGGCAACCAACGGCUAGGUUUUCGAGAAAAGAUUAAUUUGUGAGGGACUUUUCAUCAGAUGGCCUCUUUUUUAAGAGGCUUUUAGUAGAGAGGAUUCUACAGUGCAAGAUUCACUCUACUUCUUUUUCUAAACAAGAAGACUCAUCCCCAGCACACUUAAGCACAGGGGUAUAUAUACAUCAUAUGUAUUGUAUGUUUCAUUUCUUAGAGCAUCUCCAACAGUCGCGCAACGUCCUGCGCACUAAAAGUCAGGAUACAGCGCCGGGUGAGCCAGGUUUUGCGCGCGGCGGCGCGCUGGCUCCAGCGGCCGCCGCAAAAUAAAGCGCGCCCGAGCCGCUCCAGCAAGCGCGCUAUAUUUUGUACAUAGUUCUCAAUUCUUCUCCUACAAUACAUAGUCAUAGUACAUAGUUCUACGAUACAACUAAGCGUACAUAGUUCUAGUCUUCUCCUACAAUACAUAGUCUCACAUAGAACUACUACUCGUCAUUCUCCGACUUGGACUCUGUCUUGGUGAUGUCCUCCUCAAACGUUUGAGCAUAGGCGUCAAAGAACCGAUCAUCAUCCCAGGACGACGCAUCUCCUAGCGCCAUGUUGUAUUUGUUAAGAAUAAAGCGACGCCAUUAGCGCUAAGAGUCGUCACGUCUGUCCAAAGCGCCGUACGGACGCGAACGUCCGUACGGGCGUCUUCUCGCGCCACAGGCGCCUAUUGUAAACGGACGCCUCUCCGGAGGCGCCCCAAAUCCUUGUAUAAAUAGGGCUUUGCCCAGAAUCAAUAAACACAAGUUUUCCAUCAAAUCUUUACACGUUAUCAGCCACGCUAGCCUCAACCAACAGAGCACGAACAAGAAGAGACAAGAAGGUGAGAUGGCAGGGAUGAACCUGCAUAGAAUCGCCUCUGCCCUUGUUCGAUUCAUUGGACGGGAGAUCCGUCGAUCUGCCAGACGCCACAGUGCUGGUGUUCCUCGCCAUUGGGGCCUAGGCAACGGCCGCCGUGGUCGCCGUGGUCGUCAGGAUCACCCUGGCCCCGCCACCGCAGAGCAGGCAGAACCAAGCAACCCAUCUGCCGCCGUCCACCACGCCUACCAGGCACCCCCCAUGCCGGCCUUGUUGGAAAUAUGCCCUAGAGGCAAUAAUAAAAUGGUUAUUAUUAUAUUUCCUUGUUCAUGAUAAUUGUCUAUUGUUUAUGCUAUAAUUGUGUUAUCCGGAAAUCGUAAUACAUGUGUGAAUACAUAGACCACAACAUGUCCCUAGUGAGCCUCUAGUUGACUAGCUCGUUGAUCAACAGAUAGUCAUGGUUUCCUGACUAUGGACAUUGGAUGUCAUUGAUAACGGGAUCACAUCAUUAGGAGAAUGAUGUGAUGGACAAGACCCAAUCCUAAGCAUAGCACAAGAUCGUGUAGUUCGUUUGCUAGAGCUUUUCCAAAUGUCAAGUAUCAUUUCCUUAGACCAUGAGAUUGUGCAACUCCCGGAUACCAUAGGAGUGCUUUGGGUGUGCCAAACGUCACAACGUAACUGGGUGGCUAUAAAGGUGCACUAUGGGUAUCUCCGAAAGUGUCUGUUGGGUUGGCACGAAUCGAGACUGGGAUUUGUCACUCCGUAUGACGGAGAGGUAUCUCUGGGCCCACUCGGUAAUGCAUCAUCAUAAUGAGCUCAAUGUGACCAAGUGUUUGGUCACGGGAUCAUGCAUUACGGUACGAGUAAAGUGACUUGCCGGUAACGAGAUUGAACAAGGUAUUGGGAUACCGACGAUCGAAUCUCGGGCAAGUAACGUACCGAUUGACAAAGGGAAUUGUAUACGGGAUUGAUUGAAUCCUCGACAUCGUGGUUCAUCCGAUGAGAUCAUCGUGGAACAUGUGGGAGCCAACAUGGGUAUCCAGAUCCCGCUGUUGGUUAUUGACCGGAUAGUCGUCUCGGUCAUGUCUGCAUGUCUCCCGAACCCGUAGGGUCUACACACUUAAGGUUCGGUGACGCUAGGGUUGUAGAGAUAUUAGUAUGAGGAAAUCCGAAAGUUGUUCGGAGUCCCAGAUGAGAUCCCGGACGUCACAGGAGUUCCGGAAUGGUCCGGAGGUAAAGAUUUAUAUAUGGGAAGUCCUAUUUUGGCCACCGAAAAAUGUUCGGGAUUUUUCGGUAUUGUACCGGGAAGGUUCUAGAAGGUUCCGGAGUGGGGCCCACCUGCAUGGGGGGACCCACAUGAACUUGGGUAGUGGGGGCAAGGCCCCACACCCCUGGUCAAGGCGCACCAAGAUCCCCCCUUAGAAGGAAUAAGAUCAUAUCCCGAAGGGAUAAGAUCAAGCAUAUCCCGAAGGGAUAAGAUCAAGAUCCCUAAAAAGGGGGGAUAACAAUCGGUUGGGAAGGGAAAUGGUGGGAUUUCUUUCCCCCACCUUUGCCAACGCCCCAAUGGACUUGGAGGGCAAGAAACCAGCCCCCUCCACCCCUAUAUAUAGUGGGGAGGCGCAUGGGAGACGUACCCCUGCCCCUGGCGCCUCCCUCUCCCUCCCGUGACACCUCUCCCUCUCGCUGAGCUUGGCGAAGCCCUGCCGAGAUCCCCGCUGCUUCCACCACCACGCCGUCGUGCUGCUGGAUCUCCAUCAACCUCUCCCUCCCCCUUGCUGGAUCAAGAAGGAGGAGACGUCUUCCCCAACCGUACGUGUGUUGAACGCGGAGGUGCCGUCCGUUCGGCGCUCGGUCAUCGGUGAUUUGGAUCACGACGAGUACGACUCCAUCAACCCCGUUCACUUGAACGCUUCCGCUCGCGAUCUACAAGGGUAUGUAGAUGCACUCCUAUCCCUCUCGUUGCUAGAAGACUCCAUAGAUUGUUCUUGGUGAUGCGUAGAAAAUUUUAAUUUCUGCAACGAUCCCCAACAGUGGCAUCAUGAGCUAGGUCUAUGUGUAGUUUCUAUGCACGAGUAGAACACAAACUUGUUGUGGGCGUAGAUGUUGCCAACUUUCUUGCCACUACUAGUCUUAUCUUGUUUCGGCGGCAUCGUGGGAUGAAGCGGCCCGGACCGACCUUACACGUACGCUUACGUGAGACAGGUUCCACCGACUGACAUGCACUAGUUGCAUAAGGUGGCUAGCGGGUGUCUGUCUCUCCCACUUUAGUCGGAUCGGAUUCGAUGAAAAGGGUCCUUAUGAAGGGUAAAUAGAAAUUGGCAUAUCACGUUGUGGUUUUACGUAGGUAAGAAACGUUCUUGCUAGAAACCUAUAGAAGCCACGUAAAAACAUGCAACAACAAUUAGAGGACGUCUAACUUGUUUUUGCAGCAUAUGCCUUGUGAUGUGAUAUGGCCAAAAGGAUGUGAUCAAUGAAAUAUAUGUGAUGUAUGAGAUUGAUCAUGUUCUUGUAAUAGGAAUCACGACUUGCAUGUCGAUGAGUAUGACAACCGGCAGGAGCCAUAGGAGUUGUCUUUAUUUUUGUAUGACCUGCAUGUCAUUGAAUAACGCCAUGUAAAUUACUUUACUUUAUUGCUAAACACGUUAGCCAUAGAAGUAGAAGUAAUCGUUGGCGUGACAACUUCAUGAAGACACGAUGAUGGAGAUCAUGAUGAUGGAGAUCAUGGUGUCAUGCCGGUGACGAAGAUGAUCAUGGCGCCCCGAAGAUGGAGAUCAAAGGAGCAAUAUGAUACUGGCCAUAUCAUGUCACUAUUUGAUUGCAUGUGAUGUUUAUCAUGUUUUACAUCUUAUUUGCUUAGAACGACGGUAGCUUAAAUAAGAUGAUCCCUCGCAAUAAUUUCAAGAAAGUGUUCCCCCUAACUGUGCACCGUUGCGAAGGUUCGUUGUUUCGAAGCACCACGUGAUGAUCGGGUGUGAUAGAUUCUAACGUUCGAAUACAACGGGUGUAAGCCAGAUUUACACACGCAAUACACUUAGGUUGACUUGACGAGCCUAGCAUGUACAGACAUGGCCUCGGAACACGGAAGACCGAAAGGUCGAGCAUGAGUCGUAUAGAAGAUACGAUCAACAUGAAGAAGUUCACCGAUGUUGACUAGUCCAUCUCACGUGAUGAUCGGACACGGCCUAGUUGACUCGGAUCAUGUUUCACUUAGAUGACUACAGGGAUGUCUAUCUGAGUGGGAGUUCAUUGAAUAAUUUGAUUAGAUGAACUUAAUUAUCAUGAACUUAGUCUAAAAUCUUUACAAUAUGUCUUGUAGAUCAAAUGGCCCACGUUGCCCUCAACUUCAACGCGUUCCUAGAGAAAACCAAGCUGAAAGAUGAUGGCAGCAACUAUACGGACUGGGUCCAGAACCUGAGGAUCAUCCUCAUAGCUGCCAAGAAAGAUUAUGUCCUAGAAGCACCGCUAGGUGACGCACCCAUCCUAGAGAACCAAGACGUUAUGAACGCUUGGCAACAGCGUGCUGAUGAUUACUCCCUCGUUCAGUGCGGCAUGCUUUACAGCUUAGAACCGGGGCUCCAAAAGCGUUUUGAGCAACACGGAGCAUAUGAGAUGUUCGAAGAGCUGAAAAUGGUUUUCCAAGCUCAUGCCCGGGUCGAGAGAUAUGAAGUCUCCGACAAGUUCUUCAGUUGUAAGAUGGAGGAAAAUAGUUCUGUUAGUGAGCACAUACUCAAAAUGUCUGGGUUACACAACCGCUUGACUCAGCUGGGAGUUAAUCUCCCGGAUGACGCGGUCAUUGACAGAAUCCUUCAGUCGCUUCCACCGAGCUACAAGAGCUUUGUGAUGAACUUCAAUAUGCAGGGGAUGGAAAAGACCAUUCCUGAGGUAUAUUCAAUGCUGAAAUCAGCGGAGGUGGAGAUCAAAAAGGAACAUCAAGUGUUGAUGGUGAAUAAAACCACUAAGUUCAAGAAAGGCAAGGGUAAGAAGAACUUCAAGAAGGACGACAAGGGAGUUGCCGCGCCCGGUAAGCCAGUUGCCGGGAAGAAGCCAAAGAAUGGACCCAAGCCUGAGACUGAGUGCUUUUAUUGCAAGGGAAGUGGUCACUGGAAGCGGAACUGCCCCAAGUACUUAGCGGACAAGAAGGCCGGCAACACCAAAGGUAUAUGUGAUGUACCCCUGCCCUGGCGCCUCCCUCUCCCUCCCGUGACACCUCUCCCUCUCGCUGAGCUUGGCGAAGCCCUGCCGAGAUCCCCGCUGCUUCCACCACCACGCCGUCGUGCUGCUGGAUCUCCAUCAACCUCUCCCUCCCCCUUGCUGGAUCAAGAAGGAGGAGACGUCUUCCCCAACUGUACGUGUGUUGAACGCGGAGGUGUCGUCCAUUCGGCGCUCGGUCAUCGGUGAUUUGGAUCACGACGAGUACGACACCAUCAACCCCGUACACUUGAACUCUUCCGCUCGCGAUCUACAAGGGUAUGUAGAUGCACUCCUAUCCCUCUCGUUGCUAGAAGACUCCAUAGAUUGUUCUUGGUGAUGCGUAGAAAAUUUUAAUUUCUGCAACGAUCCCCAACAGGCCUUCGUCGCUCCGCCAAUGGACUGGGCUCCCGCCGAGGCUGCAGCCCCGUUCCUGGGCGAGGAGGAGUUCUUCGACGCCGCCCAGGUCCCGCCACCGCCGGGGAUCUUCUUCGGCAAUGGCAUGGACGCAGGCGUGGCCUUCUGUCCGGUGCACGGAUACGGCCCUUGCCCUGCCCGCGAUUUCUGCCCCGUGCACGGGUACGGGCCGUGCCCUCCACCGCCGGCCACUCUACCACCGGAACCGGAGGUCAUCGAUGAGCCGCUUGCCUACCCAGACCUCCCAACGCCGACGCCCGCCGACGAAGACGAGGAGCACUUCGCCCCUCCAGGCUAUGGCCAUGUUCCCGCCAUGAUGGAGUGGGAGGUGACGCCGAACGAAGAGGAGGAGCAGUGGCUCAACUCCGUUGUGAAGCCGGAGCCAACCACACCAGCGGAGACCGACGAACCCUGCGCCACCAUCCCCGACCUCAACACUGCCACUGGCGUGAAGAUUGAGGAAGCGGCGUCGUCUUCCAAGGCCCCAGCAUCUCCGCCGCCUCCGCCCCCGGCAAGCCCGCAAACGCCUCCACCGGCGGCUCGCCGGAUCCUUCGCCGUUUCGCGGCGGCGCUGGAGCAGCACCGCCCCGGCCUCCGCUCCGGCUCCUGGGCCCCUGCAGGCCUCCACCUCCCCGGCUAUGCUGCGGGGGGCCCGUCCUCCUCCUGAAGAUCGGCGGCGGCCGGCGGGAUCCCGUGGAGGUGGCGGUGGAAUGGGGGGAAUUGACCCCAACCGCCUCACCUCCCAGCCCCCCUUAUCCGCUCGAUGUCUCCAUCAGCGGCGCUGCCAUGGGCCUGGGCCGAAAGGCCUCGUGGGUUGUGGCCCAUGUUGCAACGACCAGAAAAAAAACCAACGGGUUAUAGGCUAGAUUGCAGAAAAAUCCUUAUAUUAUCGGGAUUUCGUGCAUUAGUCCAACUACUAGUACUAAUUUAGUGCUUGUCAUGUUUUAGCCCCAUAAAUUUGGGAAUUCGCAGAUAGGUUCAACUACUAGUGCUGUAAUUAAGUACUUGUCAUGUUUUAGACCUUGUAUCUCGAUGUGAUUAUAUAUUGUACUCAAUUAAAUUGUGUAUUGAUGUUUAGACCAUAUUAUUUCUAUAAAUCAUUAUAUGUUCAAUGUGUUUGCAAUUUGCAAUCCCUAUAACAUGUACAAAUGGUACAAUAAUAUUAUUUUGCAAUUGAAAAUCAUUUGUUAAAAUCGACGGAAUUGCAGCUAUGGAUGUUAAAAUCAGUCUUUCAUCCCGUGGAAUUGCAGCUGCACUCAUACCUCCUGCAGACCCUCCCCAAGAGGGAAUUGCACAAUUAACCGAACAACAACAAUAUGUUGCUUUAUACAUAAUAAGGCACCAUAUCCAUCUAGAUCUGAAAUCUGAAUAUUUGAUGGAGGAAUCUCCAAGCAAUAUGUGGCAAUCACUUAAGACUAGAUAUGAACAGCAAAAGGCAGUUAUACUUCCUGAAGCUAGUCAUGAGUGGACCCAUUUAAGACUCCAAGAUUUCAAAUCGAUCGGAGCUUAUAAUCAUGAGGUUCAUAAAAUUUGUUCAAAGUUGCAGUUUUGCGAGAAGGAGCCUACAGAAGCAGAUAAGAUAGAAAAGACUCUAUCCACUAUGCUCCCAGCUGACAGGAUCCUACAACAACAAUAUCGUGCCCGCAAUUAUACAGUUUACUCUGAACUUAUACAUGUGCUCCUCUAGGCUGAGAAACACGAUGAACUUCUGCUAAAGAAUAGUAAUCAACGCCCAGUUGGGGCCGCUCCUCUGCCUAAAGUACAUGCAAAUUUUCAGAAAAAUACCAAGUUCAAUGGUUCUUUCAAAGGCCAAAACAAGAACUUCAAGGGUAAGAGCAACCACAACAAGAAGAACAAGCCACAAAAUUCAGACAAGGGGAAGGGCAUAACAAAGAAUAAGUUUGAUAAAACUAAACUUUGCCAGAAAUGUGGAUGCUACAAGCAUGUCACCAAAAAAUGCCGCACCCCAAGACAUCUGGUAAACCUCUACCUGCAAUCCGUGGGACGUAACAGACCUGCCCAAGGAGCAAGAUAUCAAGCUCACUUCAAUCUUCAACCUGAUAACAACAAGGACGCUGGUUGCUCGCAAGAUGUUCGAGGAGCACCAAGUAACAACAAGGAAUUCCAUAUAUCGCAGGACUCCAUGGACACGGAGAAUAUGAUGACCGAAUACGCCGCCGACAUGUUCGGGGACUUUGACUAGUCAAUUGACUCCAUUUAGAUAUUUUAUUUGUUUACAUCCAUCAGAUUGUUGUAAUAAAAACAUAUUAUUAUUGUUAUUGUCAUCAUUCUAUAUUGUAAAAACACAAUAUAUAUUGUAUCAGCACUUUGAUAUCAAUAAAAUUUGUAUGUAUUCUAUAUAUCCAAUAAAGUGUUUUUCAUUAAACUGAAAAUUCCACAUUUUUAAUAUAUAGAUUUCUACGGGAGUCAAUCCAAUGGAGGAGGAAAUGUGCCUUGUGGACAGUGGCACCACAAACUCUAUACUUAGGGAAAUAAAGUAUUUCCAAACUCUUACAAAAUUGAAUGGAGAUAUUUUAACAAUCGCUGGACGCGAUGCGGUAAUUGUUGGCAAAGGACGUGCCAUAUUUACCCUCCCUAUGGGUACAUAAAUUGUAAUUAAGGAUGCUUUAUUGUAUCCCGAUUCAACUCGUACCCUCAUAGGUUAUAGAGAUAUCCGCAAAAAUGGUUUCCACAUUGAAACUUAUGAAGAUAACAAAGAGGAAUAUCUCCUCUUUACCAAAGACAACGGAUAUGGCAAACAUAUAUUUGAGAAAAUUCCCUCUUUAUCAUCAGGAUUGUACUACACGUACAUAAAACCCGUAGAGCACGUUGCGUAUAAGGUAAUUUUUUAGAAUGUAAAUGCAUUCCAAACUUGGCAUGAUCGCCUUGGUCAUCCUGGUAUAGGGAUGAUGAGGAAAAUUAUCUGCAAUUCCAAUGGUCAUGACUUAAAUGAAGCUAAAUUCCCACAAUCUUCAAAUUUUAUGUGCACUGCAUGUGCUACUGGGAAACUCAUUUUAAGACCCUCAUAUCUUAAAAUUCAAGCAGAACCACUAAAAUUCCUUGAACGAAUUCAAGGUGAUAUUUGUGGUCCGAUCCAACCAUUGUCUGGACCUUUUAGGUAUUUCAUGGUUCUAAUAGAUGCAUCUACACGAUGGUCUCACGUGUGUUUACUAUCUACAUGAAACCAUGCAUUUGCCAAAAUAAUGAGACAAGUUAUCAAAUUGCAAGCUCAUUAUCCUGAGAAUCGAAUUAAAUCAAUUCGAAUGGACAACGCUGUUGAAUUCUCUUCACAUGCUUUCAAUGAUUAUUGCAUGGCAUUAGGCAUUGAAGUUCAGCACUCUGUCCCAUAUGUCCACACUCAAAAUGGAUUGGCCGAAUCUCUAAUUAAGAGAAUUAAGCUCAUUGCACGACCGUUACUAAUGAAUUGCAAUUUACCAACUUCUUGUUGGGGUCACGCAGUUUUACACGCUGCUAACUUAAUCCAAUUGCGACCAACUGCAUAUCACAGCACUUCCCCUCUGCAAUUAGUACGUGGAAACCUACCAAAUAUUUCCCAUCUGUGUAAAUUCGGAUGCGCCACAUAUGUGCCAAUCUCACCACCGCAGCGUACAUCCACGGGCCCACACAAAAAAUUGGGGAUCUAUGUGGGGUACAAAUCACCGUCGAUAAUCAAGUACCUUGAACCCCUCACGGGGGAUCUGUUCACAGCCCGUCACGCUGAUUGCAUCUUCAAUGAGGACCAUUUCCCGGCAUUAGGGGGAGACAUCAAGUACCAAAAAGAAUGCCCGGAAAUCGAUUGGAAUGCCCAAGGCAUUUCCUCCCCUGAUCCACGUACUCAAGAAACUGAACUUCAAGUUCGGAAAAUAAUUAAUUUGCAACACAUUGCAAAUAACCUGCCAGAUUCAUUUACUGACUAUAAAGGUGUUACCAAAUCCUACAAUCCUGCUAAAAACGCGCCCGAAAGAGUGAAGGUACCAACAAAAACUACUCAACCCCCUGUUCAAAGGAAGAGGGGGAGAAGUACGACCACGGAACAUGAUUCAGCUCCUCACAAGCAACAAAGGAAACAGAGAAAGAAACUCCCUGAACCAGUAAAUGUAAACCAACCUAGCGUUGAUAAUCAUCAAAUGGGUAAUAUACACCCAGUGGAAGAACAACCUCCACAACCCAGCUCAGUUGUGCACAAACUAACUGGGACAUCGGAACACCCAGACUCAAUCGUAUUGGGAAAUCAUGAAGAGUCACUAAGGGUGCAGGAAAUUUCUAUCAACUAUGUUGAUUCUGGAGAAUCAUUUGACCGUAAGACUACCACUGUCGACAUAUAUUUUGCUGAAAAGAUUGCAGAUACCCUUGAUACGUCUCCAAUGUAUCUAUAAUUUAUGAAGUAUUCAUGCUAUUAUAUUAUCCAUCUUGGAUGUUUAUGGGCUUUAUUUUACACUUUUAUAUUAUUUUUGGGACUAACCUAUUGACCCAGAGCCUAGUGCCAGUUCCUGUUUUUUUCCCUUGUUUCAGUGUUUCGAAGAAAAGGAAUAUCAAACGGAGUCGAAACGGAAUGAAACCUUCUGGAGAAGUUAUUUUUGGAAGGAAAGCAACCCGGGAGACUUGGAGUGCACGUCAGGAAAGCAACAAGGGAGGCACGAGGCAGGGGCGCGCCCACCCCCUGGGUGCGCCCUCCACCCUCGUGGGCCCCUCAUGGCUCCCCUGACGUAUUUCUUCCACCUAUAUAUAUCCAUAUACCCUAAAACGAUCGGGGAACCGAAUAGAUCGGGAGUUCCGCCGCCGCAAGCCUCUGUAGCCACCAAAAACCAAUUGGGACCCUGUUCCGGCACCCUGCCGAGGGGGGAUCCCUCACCGGUGGCCACCUUCAUCAUCCCGGCGCUCUCCAUGACAAGGAGGGAGUAGUUCACCCUCGGGGCUGAGGGUAUGUACCAGUAGCUAUGUGUUUGAUCUCUCUCUCUCUCUCGUGUUCUUGAGAUGAUACGAUCUUGAUGUAUCACGAGCUUUGCUAUUAUAGUUGGAUCUUAUGUUGCUUCUCCCCCUCUACUCUCUUGUAAUGGAUUGAGUUUUCCCUUCUUAUCGGAUUGAGUCUUUAAUGAUUUGAGAACACUUGAUGUAUGUCUUGCCGUGCGUAUCUGUGGUGACAAUGGGAUAUCACGUGAUUCACUUGAUGUAUGUUUUGGUGAUCAACUUGCGGGUUCCGCCCAUGAACCUAUGCAUAGGGGUUGGCACACGUUUUCGUCUUGAUUCUCCGGUAGAAACUUUGGGGCACUCUUUGAGGUUCUAUGUGUUGGUUGAAUAGAUGAAUCUGAGACUGUGUGAUGCAUAUCGUAUAAUCAUACCCACGGAUACUUGAGGUGACAUUGGAGUAUCUAGGUGACAUUAGGGUUUUGGUUGAUUUGUGUCUUAAGGUGUUAUUUUACUACGAACUCUAGGGCUGUUUGUGGCACUUAUAGGAAUAGCCCAAUGGAUUGAUCGGAAAGAAUAACUUUGAGGUGGUUUCGUACCCUACCAUAAUCUCUUCGUUUUUGUUCUCCGCUAUUAGUGACUUUGGAGCGACUCUUUGUUGCAUGUUGAGGGAUAGUUAUAUGAUCCAAUUAUGUUAUUAUUGUUGAGAGAACUUGCACUAGUGAAAGUAUGAACCCUAGGCCUUGUUUCCUAGCAUUGCAAUACCGUUUGUGCUCACUUUUAUCAUUAGUUACCUUGCUGUUUUAUAUUUUCAGAUUACAAAAACCUGUAUCUACUAUCCAUAUUGCACUUGUAUCACCAUCUCUUCGCCGAACUAGUGCACCUAUACAAUUUACCAUUGUAUUGGGUGUGUUGGGGACACAAGAGACUCUUUGUUAUUUGGUUGCAGGGUUGUUUGAGAGAGACCAUCUUCAUUCUACGCCUCCCACGGAUUGAUAAACCUUAGGUCAUCCACUUGAGGGAAAUUUGCUACUGUCCUACAAACCUCUGCACUUGGAGGCCCAACAAACGUCUACAAGAAGAACGUUGUGUAGUAGACAUCAUGCUCUUUUCUGGCGCCGUUGCCGGGGAGGCUAGGUAAGCGGCACUCACACCCCGUCAACUAAGCUCUUUUCUGGUGCCGUUGCCGGGGAGGUGAGUGCUUGAAGGUAUAUCUUUAGAUCUUGCAAUCGAAUCUUUUAGUUUCUUGUUUUAUCACUAGUUUAUUUUAUAAAAGAAAACUACAAAAAAUGGAAUUAAGUCUGUCUCAUACGCUUCAUCUUUUUAAUAUAUUUCGUGAGAAUGAUGGAAAGGAAAAUUGUGCCAAAGUGUUAGAAGAAGAAUGCAUUAAAAUGUUUGGCACUAAAUAUUUGAAUGAUGAGCAUGAUUGCAAUGUUGUUAGUAUGAACUCCUUGAAUAUCCAUAGUACUAAUGAUGAUUGCACUAGUCAUGAUGAAAAUAUCUCUUAUAAGCAUGUCGAUUUUUGUGGAGUGUAUUGGGUUUGCAAGUACAUACCAAAUAGGGAAGAUAGAUAUUGCAAGAGGCAUAAGCAUUUAGAAACUAAAUUGUUGGAAGAAAGGCUAGAUGUUUGUGCUAAAAAUUUAAAUUUUCUUAGCCGUACUUGUGAACUUUGCAAUGAACAUGAUCAUUCCAGUACCCAAUGCAAAUUGUUUCAUGAUCAUAUCGUGUCCAAAAAUUGUGAUGACUUCAUUUCCCUUGCACAUUAUAAUGAACUUACUUUGCUCUUGGGUUAUGAAUAAAUGAAACGUAUAACUAAGGUUAUUCCAGAAUUUGCCCUUGAUAGAGUUCUUCAUUUUGAUCUAGAGGAAAUUUAUAUGUAUUGCACGGUGAAUUGCAUUGAAAAUCCUUUUAUUGCCAACUACAUAAAAAAGAAAACAAAUAGAAGAUGAAGAGAAUACUAAUGAAAGGGAAGAGACUUCCCAAUAUCCUCCUAUUAUUUCUUAUGAUGAAUCAGGUAAUGAGGAGGAGCCUUCUAUUCAACCAAUCUCAUUAAUAAGGAGCUCCAAAAAGAGGAUUGAACCCACACAUGAUGUGGUGAAGAAGAAGAAAAUAAAAAGGAAGAGAGAUAAAAAGAUAUCUCUCCCAAAUAAAGUUGCUCCUAUUAUUGUUGUGCCUCAUGAAAAUGAAUCAAAAAUAAUUGUGGAAGAUGAUGCACUUGAUGAUGAUCUCGUUAUGCCUAUUGCUUAUUGUGAUGAUUAUGAUUGGGAAGAUAAUAAUACUUCUUAUGAUCUUGAAAAUCUUUUUGGCACUUGCUUGGAAGAAUAUGAUAAUUGCUAUACUAUUGGUGUUAUCCAUACUAUUAAUGAUGAGAGUGAUUAUGCUUAUGAUAUGAAAAGGCCCAAGCUUGGGGAUGCUAUGUUUGAAGAAGAUGAUGUUUUUGAGAAUAUAUUUGCUGCAAUUAAUGUUUGUCCCAAGCUUGGGGAUGCUACGUUUAAUGAAGAUGAUAUUUUUAGCCUCCAAGUUUUGAUAUGCAAAUUUGUUAUGAUGAUAGCAUGCCUCCUACUUAUGAUGAUUAUUGUGAUGAAACUUAUGCUAUAAAGAGUAGAGAUGAUUAUAUUUAUAAAACUUGGCAUGAUUAUGAUUACCCUUUUUCUGAACAUCACUCUUUUAAUGUGGAAACAAUUUAUAGUAUUCAAGUUUCUUAUGAUACUCCCACUAUUCCGAAUGAGAAGAAUUUUGCUUAUGUGGAGAGCAGUAAAUUUUCUAUGCUUGUAGAUCAUGAAAAGAAUGCUUUAGAUGCUGGUUAUAUUGUUGAAUUCAUUCAUGAUGCUACUGAAAAUUAUUACGAGGGAGGAAUAUAUGCUUGUAGGAAUUGCAAUCAUAUCAAGUUUCCUCUCUAUGUGCUUAAGGUUUUGAAGUUAUGCUUGUUUUGCCUUCCUAUGCUAGUUGAUUAUUGUUCCCAUAAAUUGUUUGAUCACAAAAUCCCUAUUCAUAGGAAGUGGGUUAGACUUAAAUGUGCUAGUCAUAUUCUUCAUGCAGCUCUCUUUAUGUUUCAAUUCUUAUCUUUUAUGUGAGCAUCAUUGAAAUCAUCAUGCCUAGCUAGGGGCGUUAAACGAUAGCGCUUGUUGGGAGGCAGCCCAAUUUUAUUUUAGUUUCUUGCUUUUUGAUUCUCUUUAGUAAUAAAUAAUACAUCUAGCUUAUGUUUAGAUGUGGUUUUAUGUUUUAAUUAGUGUUUGUGCCAAGUAGAACCUUUGGGAAGACUUGGGUGAAGUCUUUAUGAUCAUGCUGUAUAAAACAGAAACUUUAGCGCUCACGAGAUUAGCUAAAACUUUUUACUGGAGAGUGAUAUUUAGUUGAUUCUUUUUGAAGAUGAUUACUAUACAAAUUCCUCAGGUCCACCAAUUUAUUUUAGAAUUUUUGGAGUUCCAGAUAUUUGCGUUAGUUACAGAUUACUACAGACUGUUCUGUUUUUGACAGAUUCUGUUUUUCGUGUGUUGUUUGCCUAUUUUGAUGACUCUAUGGCUAGUAAAAUAGUUUAUAAACCAUAGAGAAGUUGGAAUAAAGUAGGUUUAACACCAAUAUAAAUAAAGAAUGAGUUCAUUACAGUACUUUGAAUUUGUUUUUUGUUUUCUUUCGUUAAUGGAGCUUUCGAGUUUUCUGUUAAGUUUUGUGUUGUGAAGUUUUCAAGUUUUGGGUAAAGAUUCAAUGGUGGAAUAACGAGUGGCAAGAGCCUAAGCUUGGGGAUGCCCAAUGCACCCCAAGGUAAUAUUCUAGGAUAACCAAGAGCCUAAGCUUGGGGAUGCCCCGGAAGGCAUCCCCUCUUUCGUCUUCGUUCAUCGGUAACUUUACUUGGAGCUAUAUUUUUAUUCACCACUUGAUAUGUGUUUUGCUUGGAGCGUCAUUUUAUUUUGCUAGUAUUUGCUUGCUGUUAUUUAGAAUAAUGUUUUGCAUCUCUAUUUUCAAUAAAGAUGUCAAGGAUAGUCUUUACCAUGCUUAUUUUGCAAGUAUACAUAUUGCUGUUUCAAAACAGAAAGUUUACCGCUGUUGCAAAAAUUCCCUAGAAAAGUCAGAAUGUGAUAAAAUGUUGAAACGUUUUGCAUAAUAAGGUCUGAUAAAUUCACUACAGUGGCAAUUUUCUUUCAUAAUUUUUGGAGCUAGGGAAGUAUGGAUCUUGCUGCAUUCUUUACAGACUGUACUGUUUUGGCAGAUUGCUGUUAUGUUUGCAUAUGUUUGCUUGUUUAAUGAUUUAUUUGAGGAUAGGAGUAUUAAAUAUGCAAAGGAAUUUAGUAUGCAAUGUUGAAUAAUAAUUUAAGUGAUUUGCUACAGUAGAGAAUGAUAAGGUUUUGCAUUGGUUUAUACUAACCUAUCUCACGAGUCCUUGUUGAGUUUUGUGUGGAUGAAGCUUUUGAGAUUUAGGGAGACCGUGAUGUGAGAGGAAUUAAGGAGACAAAAAAUCUCAAGCUUGGGGAUGCCCAAGGCAUCCCAAGAUAAUAUUUAAAGAAGUCUCAAGCAUCUAAGCUUGGGGAUGCCCCGGUAGGCAUCCCACCUUUCUUCUUCAACAAUUAUCGGUUAGUAUCGGUUGAACAUAAGUUUUUGCUUCUUCACAUGAUGUGUGCUAUCCUUGAAAUGUCAUUUUAUUUUGUUUUGCUUGCUGCUUGAAUAAAAUACAUUAGAUCUGAAAUUCUUAAAUCAGAGAGAGUUGUCACAUAGCUACAUAAUUAUUCAACUGCUCAUUGAUCUUCACUUAUAUCUUUUUGGAGUAGUUUGUCAUUUACUCGUGUGCUUCACUUAUAUCCUAUGAGUAAAUGGUUGAAUGAUUUGAAUGUCAUAAAUCUGAAAUUAUAUAUGUUUCAUAUACCUUUCCCAUGGGGAGUAAUGCCUUCACAUAUAAGAAGUAGAGGUGGUAAAUCUAUUGAAGGUUAGCAAACAUUGUAUUGGUCACUUGAACAAUUAAUGAAAGAAUAUUGAAGGAAGAGAGAUUUCACAUAUAAAUAUACUAUUUUGGACAUCUUCUAUGAUUGUGAUCCCCAUUAAUUAUUUUCAAACCUGAGCAAAUUAGUUGAAGUUGAACAAGGAAGACAACAUAAUGAAUUAUGCUUGGGUAUAUUUGUAUAGAAGUUAUAUUGUUAUGGAUCCUCUAACAUGUGGUGCUUGCUAUUUAGAAUCCUUUGCUAGCCAAAAUAUCUGUACUAAGCGGGAAUACUGCUUGUGCAUCCAAACUCCUUGAACCAAGUUUCUUCCAUGAGUGUCCACCAUAUCUACCUAUAUGCGGUAUUUACCUGCCGUUCCAAGUAAAUUUGCAUGUGCCAAACUCUAAACUUUCAAAUAAUAAUCUGUUUUGUAUGCCCAAAUCGCUCAUGUAGCGACUAGGGGCUAGCAGUAUCUUCCAUGCUAGGUGGGUUAUUCUCACGAUGAGUGGACUCCGCUCAUCAUUCAUGAGAAAAUGGCUGGUAACUGGGAUGCCCAGUCCCAUGAUCAAAAGAUCGAAAUCAAAUCAAAAAUAAUUGCAAACAAAACUCCCCCAGGUUUGAUGUUAGUUGGAGGCACCCGUUGUUUCGGGAAAACCAUGGAUUGAUGAUUGUUGGUGGAGGGGGAGUAAAAAUCUUUACCUUUCUGUUUGGGAACCGCCUAUAAUGUAUGUAGUAUGGAAGAUAUUGGGAACUCUUGGUCGUUAUGUUGACAAUGAAAGCAUACCUCUCAAAAUUAUUUUCAUCUCUGUUUUUGCUUCGAGCUCUGGCACCUCUGCAAAUCCCUGCUUCCCUCUGCGAAGGGCCUAUCUUUUACUUUUAUGCAAGAGUCAAUAGUAUUCCUUCUCAUUCCAACCUACUCUUUAGUUAGCAAGCAUCAUGUAAUGGAAAGAUCUAAGCAUAUAUGGCCAUUCAAAUAUAUUUGAGCAUGAACUAUUACUGUUGACAUUACCCUUGAGGUAAAAGGUUGGGAGGCAAAAUAUUAAGCCCCUAUCUUUCUCUGUGUUCGAUGAAUACUAUUUGUUCUAAAAAUAUGCUUUGAGUGGUAGCAAUCAUGGAAGACUAAAUGAUAGUUGAGUAUGUGAAGUUUGCUGAAUCAAAGCUCUGACAUAGACUCUUCCUGAAAAUAAGAUGAAUUGCAAUUGUUUGAUGACUGAGAACAUAGUUUGUUAGUUUUCAAGAAAGUUUAUGAUCUAUACUUUAACAUGUGAAUAGUUUGGUACUUGAUCAUGAAAAGUUCUAUGAGUUGAGCUACUGUUAUGACAUAUAAUGAUGCUAGAAAAUGUGAUUGAAAUUAUCAUUGAUCAAACUUAUGCACCUGCUAGCAUUCACACUUCAUAAAUUCUUUCUUUUAUCAUUUACCUACUCGAGGACGAGCAGGAAUUAAGCUUGGGGAUGCUGAUACGUCUCCAACGUAUCUGUAAUUUAUGAAGUAUUCAUGCUAUUAUAUUAUCCAUCUUGGAUGUUUAUGGGCUUUAUUUUACACUUUUAUAUUAUUUUUGGGACUAACCUAUUGACCCAGAGCCCAGUAGAAGUUCCUGUUUUUUCCCCUUGUUUCAGUGUUUCGAAGAAAAGGAAUAUCAAACGGAGUCGAAACGGAAUGAAACCUUCUGGAGAAGUUAUUUUUGGAAGGAAAGCAACCCGGGAGACUUGGAGUGCACGUCAGGAAAGCAACGAGGGAGGCACGAGGCAGGGGGGCGUGCCCUCCACCCUCAUGGGCCCCUCGUGGCUCCCCUGACGUAUUUCUUCCGCCUAUAUAUAUAUCCAUAUACCCUAAAACGAUCGGGGAACAGAAUAGAUCGGGAGUUCCGCCGCCGCAAGCCUCUGUACCCACCAAAAACCAAUCGGGACCUUGUUCCGGCACCCUGCCGAGGGGGGGAUCCCUCACCGGUGGCCAUCUUCAUUAUCCCGGCGCUCUCCAUGACGAGGAGGGAGUAGUUCACCCUCGGGGUUGAGGGUAUGUACCAGUAGCUAUGUGUUUGAUCUCUCUCUCUCUCUCUCGUGUUCUUGAGAUGAUACGAUCUUGAUGUAUCGCGAGCUUUGCUAUUAUAGUUGGAUCUUAUGUUGCUUCUCCCCCUCUACUCUCUUGUAAUGGAUUGAGUUUUCCUUUGAAGUAAUCUUAUCAGAUUGAGUCUUUAAUGAUUUGAGAACACUUGAUGUAUGUCUUGCCGUGCGUAUCUGUGGUGACAAUGGGAUAUCAUGUGAUUCACUUGAUUUAUGUUUUGGUGAUCAACUUGCGGGUUCCGCCCAUGAACCUAUGCAUAGGGGUUGGCACACGUUUUCGUCUUGAUUCUCCGGUAGAAACUUUGGGGCACUCUUUGAGGUUCUAUGUGUUGGUUGAAUAGAUGAAUCUGAGAUUGUGUGAUGCAUAUCGUAUAAUCAUACCCACGGAUACUUGAGGUGACAUUGGAGUAUCUAGGUGACAUUAGGGUUUUGGUUGAUUUGUGUCUUAAGGUGUUAUUUUACUACGAACUCUAGGGCUGUUUGUGGCACUUAUAGGAAUAGCCCAAUGGAUUGAUCGAAAAGAAUAACUUUGAGGUGGUUUCGUACCCUACCAUAAUCUCUUCGUUUGUUCUCCGCUAUUAGUGACUUUGGAGUGACUCUUUGUUGCAUGUUGAGGGAUAGUUAUAUGAUCCAAUUAUGUUAUUAUUGUUGAGAGAACUUGCACUAGUGAAAGUAUGAACCCUAGGCCUUGUUUCCUAGCAUUGCAAUACCGUUUGUGCUCACUUUUAUCAUUAGUUACCUUGCUGUUUUAUAUUUUCAGAUUACAAAAACCUAUAUCUACUAUCCAUAUUGCACUUGUAUCACCAUCUCUUCGCCGAACUAGUGCACCUAUACAAUUUACCAUUGUAUUGGGUGUGUUGGGGACACAAGAGACUCUUUGUUAUUUGGUUGCAGGGUUGUUUGAGAGAGACCAUCUUCAUUCUACGCCUCCCACGGAUUGAUAAACCUUAGGUCAUCCACUUGAGGGAAAUUUGCUACUGUCCUACAAACCUCUGCACUUGGAGGCCCAACAAACAUCUACAAGAAGAAGGUUGUGUAGUAGACAUCAACCCUUCUCACUGAUCAUGAUCCAAAGACCAUGGCAGAGUGCAAGAAACGCUCCGACUGGCCUAAAUGGAAGGAUGCAAUCCAAGCAGAAUUAGCCUCGCUCAAUAAACGAAAGGUAUUCACUGAAGCAAUACCUACACCUCCCAGAGUUUUCCCCGUGGGAUUCAAAUGGGUUUUUGUUCGUAAAAGAAACGAGAACAACGAGGUGGUGAGAUAUAAACAAGGCUCGUAGCACAAGGUUUCACGCAGAAACCCGCCAUUGAUUUCACUGAAACAUAUUCUCCAGUAAUGAGUACAACCACUUUCUGAUAUCUUAUAUCUUUGGCAGUGCAAAAUUGUCUAUCUAUGCAGUUGAUGGACGUAGUGACCGCUUACCUUUACGGUUCACUUGAUUCGGACAUAUACAUGAAGGUUCCUGAUGGAGUCCCAAUCCCGAAUCCAAACGCAAAAUGCAAUGCAUAUUGUGUAAAACUAAAUAAGUCUUUAUACGGCUUAAAACAGUCGGGUCGCAUGUGGUACAAUCGACUUACUGAGUUCUUUUUGAAAAAAGGAUACUCCAAUAAUGAUGAUUGCCCAUGUGUUUUCAUAAAAUAGUCCACAACUGGAUUUUUCAUUAUUUCUGUGUAUGUUGAUGAUCUGAACAUCAUUGAAACCACACAAGAUAUUGAUGAAGCACGCAAUCACCUAAAGGCGGAAUUUGAGAUGAAGGAUUUGGGUAAAACCAAAUUUUGCUUAGGAUUACAACUUGAGCACCUUCCCUCGGGUAUUUUGGUUCAUUAAACCGCCUAUAUCCAGAAAAUAUUGGAGAAAUUCAAUAUGGACAAAUCCUAUCCAUCCAAAACUCCUAUGGUAGUUCGAUCUCUAGACGUAGAGAAAGAUCAAUUUAGACCAAUGGAUAAUGGGAAGAGAUAUUAGGACCUGAAGUUCCAUAUCUCAGUGCCGUUGGAGCGCUCAUGUAUCUUGCAAAUUGCACCAGGCCUGAUAUUGCAUUUGCAGUGAAUUUACUAGCUAGACAUAGCGCAGCUCCUACUAAACGCUAUUGGACGGGAGUUAAGAAUAUCUUUUGAUAUCUCCAAGGCACAAAGGAUCUUGGCCUAUUCUCUCAAUUUCAGAGAAAUUUGGACAUUGAUAUGAUUGGGUAUGCUGAUGCUGGCUACUUAUCUGAACCCCACAAUGCCAGAUCACAAACCGGUUUUGUGUUCCUACAUGGUGGGACAUCCAUAUCAUGGAAGUCUUCCAAACAGACUCUAGUGGCUACAUCUACCAAUCAUUCUGAAAUAAUCUCUUUAUUUGAGGCAACACGUGAAUGUGCAUGGCUUCGCAGAAUGAUAAACCACAUACAAAAAUCAUGUGGUAAAGGUUCUAUCGAAUCUCCAACCAUUAUCUACGAAGAUAAUGCAGCUUGUGUUGCUCAAAUGCAAACAGGUUACAUAAAGAGCAAUAUCACUAAGCAUAUUUCUCCUAAAUUAUUUCCCCCCAUCAAUUACAAAAGAAAGGGAAGAUAAACAAUUUGCAAGUCAAAUCAUGCGAUAAUCUAGCUGAUCUAUUCACAAAGUCACUCCCAGCUUCAACAUUUGAAAAAUAUGUUCAUGGGAUUAGUAUGCGACGACUUCGAGAUUUGCAAAGAUCAGGGGAAGAGUCUCUCUGAAUCAUAACCUGUUCAAACAUUAUAUUGCAUUCUUUUUCCCUUUAUGAGUUUACUCUCAUGGUUCUCAUCAAGAUUUUUAAUGAGGUAAUAUCAACAUAAUAAUAUAUGUCAUACAUCCUAUUUUUCCCCACCGGUUUUUUUAAUGAGUGUAUACAAGCAUAUUAAUUGUCCUCUAAACUUACCAAUGAGUUUUAUCCUCAAGGUUUUCUCAUAUAAGUUAUCAAAGAGACGAUAACAUAUGUUGUAACAUUUUCUCCUUAUUUUUUCCUACUGGGUUUUAAUGGAGUUUUAACAACAUAUCAAGUUCUAUUCUCCUCAUAUUUUUCCCACAGGGUUUUUGGAGGAGUUAUUCAAAAUCAUAUACGGUUGUGAUUAAGAGCAAUAUUCUCAAAGUUAUACAAGGAUGCAAGACAUAGAAGAAGCAGCUUUGUACAAGGGGGAGUGUUAAGAAUAAAGCAACGUCAUUAGCGUUAAGAGUCGUCACGUCUGUCCAAAGCGCCGUACGGACGCGAACGUCCAUACGGGCGUCUUCUCGCGCCACAGGCGCCUAUUGUAAACGGACGCCUCUCCGGAGGCGCCCCAAAUCCUUGUAUAAAUAGGGCUUUGCCCAGAAUCAAUAAACACAAGUUUUCCAUCAAAUCUUUACAGUAUUUAGCGACCGCCUUCCGCGUUCGCUUGUCCUCGCGAUAGGCGGCUCGCUCCUUCCUCUUCUUCUUCCUCUCUGCCCUCCUCUCGGCGAAGAACUGCUCCUCGUUGAUGAUAUCUUGCGGGAAGCGUUGCCUCCACAACGCCAUGGCUUCCUCGUCCAUCUCGGCCAGGCUGAGACGGUGCUCCCGCCUCCGGUUUUUGCGCCGAUCCUCGUCGGUGAUAAGCCGCGGGAAAGGAGCCAACUCCUGUGCCCGCUCUGGCGUCGCCACGUCGGUGAAGUUCAUAUCCCAACGGGACCGCCGGAGGCGCCACGCCGCAGCGUUGUACGCGCGGGCGCCACGCCGCAGCGUCGUACGCGUGGGCGCCGUCCUGGGCGGUGUCGAAGGUUCCGAGGCCGAGGCGCACGCCGCCGCCCAACCGGAUCGAGGCGGAGUAGGUGCUGGACGGACGCACGCGGACGCCGCGGCAGCCCGAACCUCCCCGGCGGCGAGGCGGCAUGGUGGCGCGGUGGUGUCGUGUCGGUGGCGAGGAAAGAAAGCGCUAGAGCGAGCGAGAGAGAGCGGCAGAGGCGCUGCAAUUUAUAGGCGCGCCGGACGCGGUGCGCCAAAUCUAGCGCGCGAGCUGCCGCCUUUUCCCGCGUGCGCUAAUUUCCCGCCACCGCUGGAGCGCGCUCUAAAAGCCCAGUUUACCGCGCGCGCGCCUUUUGGCGCGGCUGUUGGAGAUGCUCUUAAGAAAUUAACUCAAAUUCAGAGAUGUUGUGGUACCAUUACGCAUUUAAACACGCAGAAAGAAUGAAACGUCAUUGGCAUAAGCAGAGACUGUGGGACAUGAGCAAACCAUGCUGAAAAAUAUAUGUGCACACACAAAACAGUAUAUGGAAUGCAAGCAAAUGAACAGCAAGAUUCAGCGACAGGGCCAACGCUAGGCAAGUUCAUUUCUCUUCCUGCCAGUUCGAAUAUUGCCUACGGAGAUCAGACGACUGAUGGCAGUUCACAGCUGAGAAGAUUAAUCCCAAGUUACUGUUGGCCAGGACAUGUUAAUUGCUACAAGUUCACAUCACAUUUACCAGGGCCUGAUAUAUAGAAGGUUAAUUCCUACAAGUUGACAUUAAAGGCCCUAUGCGCAGCAUACAGAAUGGAAGAACCGACAGCAAAUAGUCCAUUUCUGCAUCCCAGACAAUGGAAAUGUAAUGCUUGGUACCUGCAGAGCAACCAAUGCCAUCAGCCAGACUGAUUUGUAAUAUCGACUCAUGGAAAAAGUUCAAACUUAUCUCACAUUUUUUGUUGAUUCAAACAGUAAACAUUAGCUUCAACAUUGUGAAAAUUGCGAUAAAAGCUCAAAACUGAAUCAACUUAGCACUAUUGGACAAAACUAACAUUAUAUAGAGAGAACAGCAGUAGGGGAUCAAUUACUUUGUAGCGGCACACCUUCAAUUCCUAUUGUUAGCAUAUUCUCAGGUUUUUCGCUAUAUCUGGUCUUGUCAAUUUUAUCAUGUGUUCAGUUCUAAAAUUAUUAAACAUCCACAAUGAUCAAAAUCGAAGAAAAUGGACUGCACAGAAACCACACCAACAGCCAAAAUUUCUUAGAAGAACAGGGCCCUGCUUGGUAUCGUUUUCAUUGAAAACGAAACCAACAUUUGAACAGAGUGCCAGUACACGGGGAAUGGCCGAAUGCCUACCCAGUCAAGCACAAGGAUAAUUAUAGUUUGGAUCAGACAAACAAUAUUUAACUAUAAAUAUAGACACCUUUGCUUUGCUGAGUUUCUUACAAAUUCAGAUUAUCUGAGAAAAUAUUUAACUAAACCGCUCAAGAUUCGCAUAAUUAUACAAUAAUAACCGCAAGCAAUCAUUGGGUAUUAUAGUGAUCCUGAAUGAGCAAUAAUGUGAAAGAAAUUGCAAACCCAUAUUAAUAUAAGAAGUUUAAAGCCAAAUGCUGGGGUGUUUUAGUUAUCAAAUGUUUGCAUUGAUGGAACAAUAAAUAAAUCAUCAUCAAAUUUGACACUAGACAGACCAAUAAACAGAAAAAAAACUCAAUGAAAUGUAGCAAGCAGCAAAAACAAAAACAGGAACUACCACCGAAGGACAGGAAAGGAAAAAUAUUUCAUCCUGCUGCUACUAACAGAUAGUUACCUGCUGAGUCAAUACAUCAAGAUAGCAUGCCUAUCCCAACAAAUCACAUUAUGCCCGCGUCUACAAGAAUAGGAAGUCAAAGAACCAAUGAGAUUCCAACAAACAGUUAAAUAGCUACAAGGCGGCACUAACUAGAUAUAAACAUACUUCUAUAAUUCGAGUAAAAAAUCAGUUGAUCUGAUCAUAAUGAAAUUCAUAAUUAAGUAUGUCAAUAGGCCAGCAACAAAUAAAAAAAAGUCUCUACUGACAUCCAUAGAAUAAACCACAUAACUCAACAACAAUAAUACAAGAAUGUCAAAUAACUUGGUUUACUUUUACCUGCAGUAUAGACACCUUCAAAUGGAUAAUAGUGAAACCAGCGGUAAAAGCGGUAGGAUUCGAGAAGUUUCUUAAACUGCAAUGAUUCAAACUGGACCUGGAAAACGCCUAUAAAUGUCCACAGUAACACCACAUUGUUGUCCUCAGCAAACCCGAGUAUCCUUGGGCUCUGACUCCCCUCCUCUGAAUUCAUGGAAAGUAGCUUAUCUAGUGCAACAGUUCUUUCCAGCAUCCAUGAAGCUACACCAUCACAGUCCGUCUUCCACUUCCAUGCUUGGACGCAGUAGUCUGACAGGAAGAGGAAACCAAGACCACCACCCUCUGCCCGCAUAACGGUGACGGAGCAAGUGUUGACAUCGACGUCCACUGGCGCAUGUAUCACACUAAGGCUCUGCUUAUCCAAAUUAAAUUCAAGUAUUCCACAGAAAUUCCCUAUAAGGAACCAGUACAGGGAAUUCCCAACCAUCACAGAGCACAUGUCAUGGUAAACCAUGGUGAGUACAUCAGGAUCGUUGGCCGGAAGCAGCGUCGACACGAGAUUGCUCCAUACACCAGUGUCCGACGAGUACACCGAGGCCACAGCCUGUGAAUGAUGUAUGCCACUGUUGCCUACCAAGACAACCUGGAAAUGGUGGGGCACUCCGUCAGCACGAAGCACCGCUCCGCUAAUCAUGGUUUCCUCAUUGUCAACCCUGGGGGGACGUCUAGGUGGUGCCGGUCACCGGUGACGGGAUCCCAUACCAGGAGCUGGUUCCGCCGCCAGAGGAAGAUGAGCAUGAGGCCAUGGCGGCAUCCGAGGAUCGCGUAGGUGUGUAGGGCGUCGAUGGGAAAGGGGAAGCGGGCUUGCGGGGGCAUCCAGCGUAGGUUCGAAAUGGAUGGGGGAGAUACCUUGGACGAAGCAACCGAGGAGGGGAGGGUUGCGGCGGUGGUGCUCGCGGAAGCGGCGGAGAAAUCGGGCGUCGGAUACGAUGCCGCGCCAGCGCUCGCAGACGAGGAAUGCGCGGGGGAGGGAGGACGGCAGCGGGGGUAGGCGGCGGCGGCGGUGGCGGCUGCGGGGGCUGCUCAUCUCCUCACCGAUGCGAGCUCUGCUGGACUGGAAGAGUGAAGUUGAGAGAUGCGGGCUCGAACGUGACAAUGAAGAAGGAUAGCUCAAAAGGGAAGCCCAAAAGAAGGCUGGAGACUGAGGCCCAAACGAGCCCAAACAUUUUAAAAUUCGCGAAUUGCCGAAACAAAAAAAUACUCAAAACAACAUAGAGCUGCAAAGGAACGUAGCUAAUCAUAUCUUAGACUUUCCUUCUUGUCUUCGUGCAUACGAGGGUGGCCUCGUGAACGCAGCAGACCAUUUCUUGGACAAAAGAAACAAUGUUGCACACCCAUGGUUCCCCUUACGUAAUUGGUGGCGAUGGCCGCAUUGCAUAGAGUAAGGUAUCACACGGCUUUACUAUACCACCCAAAAACCUCUUGUAUCACUUAAAAAAAACCUCUUGUAUCUUUUUUCUAAGAAUUUUAAAAAAUGCUACUCCCUAGUGAUUUAACGCUCUUAUAAUUAUUUACAGAUGGGGGAGUACUUUUUUUAAUGAAACAUUUUCCACGUGUACGUGUGGAUGUAAACUAGGUAUGGACAAAAUUCUAUAUUCUCGCAAAAAAAAAAUUCUAUCGAUGCAUAUUUUUGUUUGUGGGCUACUGCAGGAGGAAACUGCGUGCACUGAAAAUGGAUCUACUAUUUGCUACUAUUGGCCUACAAAACUAUGUGUGGAGUAGCUUGAAAUUAGCGUAUUUCCAAAUAUAAUUUUGCAGACAUAUGUUUGUGGAAUUUUUCGUCCUACUCAUUUGAAAAAUGCCAAGAGGCAAAAUGGUGCACUCCUCCAUUCCUACCUUAGUGUUCUUUCAUUGUCUACGCCUCAAAACUUGUGUUGCUCUCGUCAUGUGGAUUGAUCACUCUUGGUUUGGCACAUUGUCGUCUCAGGCCUUGUCCUGAUUGGACAAUGUGUGACGGCAACAAUAUUUUUGAGUUUUUCCGUUCAUGUUUCUCCUUCUUUUUUUACCUUUGCUCUUCAGUUUUCAUAUACACAUGACGUCAGUGAAUCAUUGUCUCAGCAUCCUUUGUUACAAACAGUUUGUCCCUUGGCUAAAUGUGUUCAGCAAGCAGACAUUGGGAUCCACCAUUUGGGAUGUGACGGUCAAGCAAAAUACUCCCUCCGUUUGGAAAUAUUUGUCAGAAAAAUGGAUAAAAAUGGAUGUAUCUAAAACUAAAAUACGUCUAGAUACAUCCAUUUCUCCGACAAGUAUUUUCGGAUGGAGGGAGUAUUAAGAUAUUAAGAUAAACAUAGGGACUGGAGACAAAGUGAUAUCGUAUAUACUUUUAGAGUGUGCAAAGAAAGAUGGUUACAUAAACGAAGGGCAUGUUAACAAGGACUAUAAUGUUUCAAGACUCUUCAGCAUGCUAAAAAAAAUAACGAGCAUGUAUAUAGGUCAUACAUUUGUUUAAAAAAGAACAACUAUUAAAACACUUGCCCGCGCAUUUCCUUGUUAUUAUAGCAGGAGCUGAUAUGAUUCUGGUCAUUUAUGCUUAACAUUGUAGACACUGGUAUUUUCUUAUUGAAAACUGAAAAUGUAUACACUGCAGCCAAAGAAAUAGUCAAGUACUGAGAAGAAACUGCCUUUGGUGAAGCAAAUUUCCAGUCUGCCCAAGCAAGAUCCUCCGGUAGAAGGGACUCUUCCUUUACAAUCAUUGUCAGACUACUAAGACUGAUCUCUGGAAUUUAUCAGAAAAUGUUAUUGAAAAGCAAACUAGGACAUUUUCUAUCUUCAGAAAUAAGGAUGCAAAGCGUGUCGGGUAAAGCCCGCUAAAACAACUAGUACAAACUGAACCAACGCCAUGAUCAAGAUCGAACUGGGUUCUCCAAUUUUAACUAUGAGCGGACAUAUGCGGCACGGCCCUUGCAACACAAGAAAUGACACGAAAAAUAUAGGAUGUAAAGCCUAGCUACACUUUUGAAAUAAUAAGAAUCUGAAGCAUAUUUCAAAUUUAUGACAAGAGAAGGGUGAACACUUGUAUAUAGAGAAAAAUGAUCUCUUGCCGUUCACAUGAUUCAUCACUUCAGUUUCUUUUUUUCAGAACAAGAUUCAGUAUUUCAGUGACGGUCUCCUUGCUGAAACUCUUGCUGGGCCAUAUUGGUGCCCGAACGGAGCUACAGCCCAGCGGAGCAUCCGAUGUGUUCGUGGGCUUUCAGUCGGAGGCUACAUGUGCAGGCAUUGUGGCGUCUGAUCCGACUACAGCACUUCCCCGCACGAGAUCGGCGACAUGUCGCCGGCGGCGGCGCCGCUGGAGGACGAAAACCUUCUCUCCGAGAUCCUCCUCUGCCUCCCCCGCUGCCGUCCUCCCUUCCCCGCGCAUCCGCCGUCUGCAAGCGCUGGCGCCUCCUCGUAUCAGACCCCGGCUUCGUGCGCCGCUUCCGCCGCCGCCACCGACGCAGCCCUCCCCUCCUCGGCUGCUUCGUCCUAGACCGGGGAGGCGUCUCCUUCACACCUACCAUGGAUUCCCCAGAUCGUGUCCCCGCCAGGCGCUUCUCCUUGCAGCUCGACGAGGGCAACCGCUUCUGUCUCCUCGGCUGCCGCAAUGGCCUUGUGCUCAUCUCCAACAAUUCACGGAAGCAAGUCCUGGUGUGGGACCCCGUCACCGGCGACCAGCACCACAUCGCCUUUCCCCCAUGGUUCGACACAUACCCGAUUCAUGGGGCGGUGCUUCGUGCUGCCGGCGAGGUGGACCACUUCCAGGUGGUCCUGGUACAGGUCAUAUGGGAUGAAGGGCAUUUGCGAGUGCUCGCCUGAGUUUACUCGUCAGAGACGGGCGGCUGGGGUAAUCUUAUCUUAAUACCAAUUCCAUCAUCGGUUUAUUGUGCGGGCAUGUCAGCCGUGUUGGUUGGAAAUUCCUUCUACUGGCGCCUUGCUGGGUGUUUUUGUGCUAUUCUCGAGUUUGAUUUGGAGAGGCAGAGCUUAUCUGUGAUACAAGUGCCAGUUGGUGAGGAGAAUAGCUUCACUGUUAUGCGGGCCGAGGGUGGUGGGCUAGGUUUACUCUCCGUGUCAGGCUUCACCGCCCAAUUAUGAAAGAGGAAGGUUGAUUGUGAUGGUCUUUCAUCAUGGGGGAUGGAAAGAACUAUUGAACUGGACAAGCUAUUUUCCCUGAAUCCAGAGAAGGAGAGAGUGCCCCCGAGAAUACAUGGGCUUGCUGAGUACAAUAAUGUGGUGUUCCUGACUAGAGGUGAUGAAAGUGUCAUCAUGCUGCAGCUUGAGUCAUUGCAAUUCAAGAAGUUUCAUGGGAUUGGCAAAGGUUUAUAUCAUCAUCAAUUCGGAAGUGUCUAUUUUGCAGGUAAUAGCAUGCCUUUGAAGUAUAGUGACGUUGUGAUGUAGUGUUCUGUCCGUAUGCUUGUGUGGUGGUGUUUUAUGUACCCGGGUGUCUAGACACCCCUUUAUCAGCACCGUACAUUUACAAUUCAAUGCCUGGGGAUAUGUACCAGAGUACAGUAGCUAUCUUUUGUUUAAUAGGCUUGUUCGGUCGCCAAGCCAUGUCGGGACUAGACUGGCACUGUUCCUACUAGGCCGAUUCCAACCAUUAGGCUGGUCACAAUGGGCAGGAACAUAAGCUAGUAACCUACACACUUUCCUAGACUAUGUUACUACCUCCAUAGUGGGUAGGGACAUGUAUGUAGUGUCAUGCAACGAUGUAUUUAUUAGGUCAUAGACUCAUUGUUUUUUGGAGUAUGUGAUGUUCCGGUAACUUAGCUAGUUACCACAAGCAGGUCUUUCUUCAUUAAAUAUGUGCCACAUAAGCAAAGUUGCAUUGGAGUGUGUGAUGUUAUUUUUAAGUUCCUGCCCAUUGUGACCGGCCUUACCUGAGACGUCAAAAGGACAUGCUGAAAAGACGUGUCUUCUUGGACAUGUUGAAACUGUAGAUAUGAGAGAGGGUAAGCGCAUUGAUAAAAAGAAACAAAGGGUGGCUAGACCGCUAGAGUGCCUGUAUGUGUCUGAAGCAGCGGGAGCAAAGUAAAAAAAGGCUACUUACAUUUUACUACUCAGUGGGAUCUUCUGCGAGCAAUGUAUAUACUCUGGUUCACAAAAAUACUGUUUGGGAAAGGGAUACAGAAGAAGCCACAUAGUUCUUUACAUAAGUAAUCUGAGACCUCCAGAAAAUUACUGCAUGCAUGUUGGACCGUGGCUAACAUGCACCGGUUAUGAGUAGUCUCAUCGAACUAACACGCUUGACCUGCUGCCAGCCCACGCAUAGGCCUAGCGCCUGUUGCCUAGACCGUUCUUUAUCUUAAAUGACCUGUUUAAGUACUGUGGCACUGCAAAUCGUAUGCUGAUGUGCAGACCAUAGCACGAAUCUCAGCGGAGCUGAACAGGCAGAUAAGGGGGGGUCUGGACUCCGGGUGCCAUAGCACCUUUUUGUUUAUGUUAUAUAUGGUUAUGAACUGGAAAAAUAUUUGUCAGCGGUACCUAGUUUAGGGAGGGAUGUUGUUGUUUUGAAUAUUCCAACAUUAUUAAUUCUUGUUAUCACUAGGCUGUGUGGUACCUGAAAACUAGCUUGAAGUGACUAAAACAUCAAACGCAUAGCUCAAUAAGUAUAUUUGGAAGCUUAUUAAAGCAUGUUUGUGUAAUUCAGUAUCAUUACCUCUACUGAUCUUGCUAAGAAGCCUACAGAAAUUGAGAGCACAUAAAUGUGUACUCAAUGAUGUUUGGUUGUGCCCUAGGGGAAAAGCCAGGAACUUAUCUGAAGGGUUAGGUGGGUGCCAUAUUUGUCACUGAAAUGAAGAAAGUUUCCAAGAGGUUGGAACCACUGGACAUUUUCCUUUGGAAUUGCAUGCAAAGUAGAUGAUAGGAAAAGGUCCUGUGGUUCCCAACUUUCCAUUCCUACGAGCUUCGCAGGAUAUUUUUUGUAGUAGAAUUAAUCCUUCAAAAUUCCUUUGAACUGAAGAGGCCCUUAGUUGUUUUUCUGAAAUUACACAUGUGAGUUUAACUAAAUAUCUUCAGUGACGCCUACUCGUAUCGAUUCACUGUUUGGCUUUCCGUAGGAAUGUCUUUGGUAGAUACAGUGUUUGACUUCUUAUGGUAGUAGGCACCAGCAUUGGUGGUGGACAGGAUGGAGCUGAACUUUUGCACAAUACAUAAGAUGAUUGUUUGGGUAGAUAUGCUAUUAUGUUUUUUGGUUGAGCAGGUAAGCAUAUCUUCUGCAUGUAAGUUCACGUAUCUGAAAUGUUUGUGCGAAAAAAUAUAUUGCUCAUCUUUUUGCUACUAUUUCGCGAUUACCAAAUAGAUUGCUUUUGGUAGUGUGGGCUGUUCUCCCUCUAGCAUGUCAGCUAGCUUUGCUGCUGGCUAGCCAGGACUUGAGAUCGAGAUCGCAGGAGAUAAAUAGGGUCUGGGAUAGUGACGAAGCUAGAUCAAAGAAGGGGAUUUUUCACUCAUUCAUUGAUUAGCCUGCUAUAUUUUUCUUCUCCCUGUGCCCUCUCCCCUUCUGUUCUCCCUGCCCAUGUAUAUAUAUCCUCUCUCAUGUAAAUAAACUCUUUUUAAUUUACUGUCGGGGCCUCCCAUACAGUUUCUGCUCAAAAGUUUUGUUUCUUAUGCCAUGAAAGUGUAAAAUGGUGACCUGUAUUUUGUAUUGAAGGGAAUAUUAAUUAAUAAAAUGAUGUAUGAUCCCUUGCUUCAGGAUUUUACAAGAUAAAUUAUACUAAAUCUAAUUUGUUAGUGAUUACCUAGCUCAUGCCUUCUUAAAAAAUGCUUAUUAGCUACUGACCAGAUGUUUCUGCUUUUCUACUCCAUGAGCCCAUCAUAUGUCCAUGAUGUUCCAGCAGAUCGAUUCAGUUGAGCGCCUGCACCCAAGCUAAGCCAUUCUCCAUCCCGUUGUGUGCUUCAGGUGGCUGGUGACAUCUCUCAGUUCCCAUGUGUGCUUUGGGAGGAUAAGUUCCAGCCGCUCUCGAUCGUUGCGUCCACUAAUCCCAAGCACAAGAAACCAAGACGCGGUGUGAUGCGCCGGCUACUUGAUGGCUUGGGGAUGGGUGGUCGUGAAAGCAGUCUUCUUUGAUCUAGACAUCGACGAGUUCCGGACUUAUCCUUCGAAGGAAAACAAGGACUAGCGUAUAUGGCGCUCUUUGGAAACGUUGAUUGGAUAGGGACCGGUCGUGUACACCCAUAACAUCAGCAUAACCAGCUUCAUCAGGGUGUCGCGAAGCUCUGUUUUUAUUGACACCUUGGGACAUGUCUGCACCAAGAUUUCCAAGGGUUCAACACAUGCGGAGAAUGCCAUGGCGUGAUUGGAGGACUUCUUUGUUGGUGGUGCUCCUUUGAGUACCGGGACGUGAUUUCCAGGGUGAAAACCCAAGGUCUGGCAUUUAUUGGUUGUGCCUGGCAAUGAUCUUGUUGAAGACAUUGUUUUGGAACCGCGGUCUUUCUUCAGGGUGAAAACCUACGAUCUUUGAUCAGGCAACGACAACGCUUGUGCUUGGCUUGUAAGAGCAUCAAAACAAUUAAUACACUCAAUUGAUUGGUAGUGAUUUCAAAACAUUCCUUUAUUCAUCUGUAUGAAAAUGCCCAAAUCUGUUGAGCCAAGUCUCUUUUUCCCCGAAAGGUGUUUCACCGAUAGUUAAUCACCUGAAAAAAAAAUAUGUGGACAGAAUAAAAUAUGGGCAUAAGAAGAAAACAUGGGCAUUUGAGAGAUGUAAUGUGCACCUGAAAGCUAGUCAUCAUGUUAUCAAGCAACCCUUGAGCAGCCAGCUAAGAUGCACUCCUAUGUUCUGAACAGCCAAACACAGCAUGAAUAACAUAUAGUUAUUAUCUCUAAAAAAUGCUAAGGAAUCAGCAUCGUACACAAACAGAACCAAAAAUAAAUAAAAUAAAGGCAUGAGAACUAUUUCUAAAAGGGUUAUAGCUGUAGGUUUGUACCUUGACACAACUUUGCCUCCUCAGAAGCUUUCAUCUUUUCUACUCCAAACAAAGCAGCAAUUAGAAAUUAGAAUCAGCAAGCGAUAUAUAUACAUAUAUUGACAAUUACAUUAACUAUUGGAACUAGUUAAUUUAUAAUUUCAUGACAACAUGCUGUUAAUAUUUCAGGAUUAGUUACAGUGUACAUCUAUUUGUUACUUACACGGGUUAUCCUUGGCAGCGUUUAAAGAAACUGAAACUUUGAAACCACUGGAAACACUUCCUAGAGAAUGGACUCUUCGUAUAUUGGUUCAUAACCACUCCAUGAAGAUCGUGGAUCAGUGAGCGGAUGCCGCAAGAUCUCCUGGUCAAACUGAGGCCUGAUGGUGAGGCGGCAUGUGCUUAGACAAUUUGAAGGGAACUUUUAAACAUGAAAUAUAUAUGAUAUUUUCGCACAGAGCUAUUGAAACACAAUCUGCAGUUAAAUUUUGUAAGGAAAAUUUCCUACAGUUUUCAGUCAAAAUUAAAAUUAUGAAACUCCAACCCUCCAUGUACCAUAACAAUCUGUUUUUUGUUAUUCUAUAUAGGAGAUCAGACAGCAAAGAUUUGACAACAAUUCAGAAAAUGAACCAAUAAACAUUAAUUGUCCAUACGAUCUGGAAAGGAUAUGGUUCUACUAUCAAGAAACAGUAGAACAACAGAGCCCACAUCUCAGUGCCUAAAAUGAAGUAAAGUGCAAAGAAAAGAAGAGAGUUCGGUUUCCGCCUAAAUGUAACAGAGCAUUGCUGCCUCAAAUGAUCCAAUAAACAUGCAUCCUUGGGUGACAAAUAAUACAUACAUUCGUCCAUAUCAUGGCAAUAAAUAAUAAGAAAAUCAUGUGGGAUUACCUCACGGCUCACGCCGUGGUAGCAAGAUAGUAGAGGAAGAUUAGGAAUGGCCAGCCAUGGAGCAAUCAGGAACUGCCUGCUACAUGAUACAAAUGCCGCGAGGGAGGAGCAGCAAGCGACGUAGAUAGAGAUGCAUGAAGCGGAAACAUAUAUAUGCAUAAAGCAAAUUAACGGCAGGGCGGUUAAUUUAGGAGAUUAAUAGGGGAUUAACACAAUGUGCUAGUUACCUUGUUGUGGGACUUGUCCAUGGGACCAUGACGUAGCAGCAGGCAACAGAGGUAUGGUUCUUUAUAGUGCAGAUGCUGGAGAUCACGCCACUACACCGGCCGUUGAACAAAAGUCUUGGGUGGCAGUAGGCGACAUGCGGUCCACGAUAGGAGUCUUCAAAUUCGUCCCCUUCAGCUAAGGCAACAGUAUCUGCAGGCGCUUGGAACAUAAUGGCACAACAGCUCGGGGAAGGCAGGGAGAUUGUAAGAGGAAGAUGAGGGCGACGCCCUAGGCCACCGGCGGUCCGUCCGGAUGCCUCAAAUCGGGAAGCCAACACCUCUACUUCUGCCAUGUUUUUUGUUCUCCCAAGAUCUGAAGUUUGUACAACCGGAUACUCCAAAUCCGUUAGCUGAAUUGACUCAUUAAAAAAAGGCUUGAUGUUCCUGUUUGUAGCAUCAGAACCUGAAUCUUGCUUUUCCUUCUUCGAUUUGGUACCCUAGUGGUAGAUGUGGAUUGCAAUAUAGAAGGAGAGGUGGUUGGGUUGGGUGUUCCAUGGCCUGGGCUAGGAGAAGAUGAUACUGCUGCGGAUUGAUGAUAGAAUGAAGAAGCAAAGUGAUAAUGGGACGCUCUGUCUCCAUCAGUCCUUGUAUUUGUGGUGGAGGCUACGGAAAGGGCAGACCCAUAGAUUAAAGGGGAGAACAUCUUCGUCAGUUACUCUAGCGCAGAAGAUGAAAAGAGCCAUGGAUUACGGUGGAGGAAGUAGUAAUUGAGGAGACGAUCAGACCGCAUUGCUUCGACAGUUCAGACUUGGAGCGGGGCGGCCGUGCGGGAGGAAAUAAUAUAACCUUUUUCCAGCGUGGCUGUAGCCUGUAGGUUAGGCCCGGGAAUCAGUCUGAUUGGUUGGUGCUUGCAAAUUGAACGCUUACGUGGCAUCACGCUGAUGUGGAUAGUGUGCAUGUUGAGAGAAUUGUUAGUAGUGGGGAUCAACUUCUUAAGAAUGUAUGAUUCCGAAUGAUUUGGUAAGGUAGAUGGUUCAGCAUUUGCCUCUGCAUGAGGUAUUUGCACCAUUGCUCUUUUUACCUUUACUGAGAGAAUGUGGCGAAAAUACUUGAGAAUGUGCCAACAGUAGAAGUUGAAAGUGUGCCACUACAGCACAAUUUACCUACUGAUAAUCUCUGUUUCCGUUGCUGGUUCUUUUCCAGCAAUGCUGUGAUGAUUCAACCUUGCUGUUUUUGGUACAAUUUCUUUAUGAUGAAGCUAAUGAUUACUGUUUGUAUCAUAAGAAAUUGUGAGGUUGCAUAACUUCAACGUCUUUUCGAUGGAUGAAUAGUUCAAAAUGGUUUGACUAAUGUCAUUGUUUACUCCACAGGUACCUAGAAUUGUGUUCCGGUUACUGAGAUGGAGGAAUGGGCUUGCUGUAGGUUCUUCCAGUUUGUAUGCUUCACGCCCCGGUCGAGCCUUUCGAUUGCAUGCAUCAAUCAACCGGGAAGUGGACACAACAAUUAGUAGAUGUUAAUCCUUAAAUUCGCAAAAUUCUCUCUGUUGUUGUCUGGUCUCUGGACACAAUUAGCCGACUGGUAUGAGGGAAACACAGCGACUUGCUUCGGUUAAUUAGUAUUUGUGGUGCACCUGCUUUAUGCUUUCCAAGCAAGCACGUUGAAACAAGCUUGUCUGAUUCCAUUUGCUCAUGGUUUUGUGUAUCUGUUAAUCUCCGCACUGUUUUUGUUUGAUUAUGAUCCAUGUCGAAUCAAGACGGCGGGAGAUUCCAAUAUGUUGAAUUUUAACUUUUGUCCCAUUUUGUGCGGACAUCUUUGUCUGAUCUUUUAUCUGAUUCUGGCCAGUGAAUGCUGAAGUGUGAGGAAGCAAAACACAUUUGAUAAAAGGCUCCCGUUUCAUUUGUGGUUCAGAAAACUCGUCAGCGUGAAUCGCUGGUUAAACUGAACUUGUUUUUCCCCGUGUGUAGUGCACAAGACAAGCUGAUUGUCGGCCAGAAACCGAAAGCAUUCUCCACCACGUUAUUAAAUCCGAUCAAGCUUCUAUUCUUCGUGCGCUUGAUGACACGCGAAUUCACAUUUUCUUUGUGCCGGGAAAGGCAAUAUCAGCUCGGAGCGGAGUUUCAGUGCACGGCGGCAUUGGUGCACUUUUAUCCUCGUCGUGCACUGCAUGCAUCAUGAUGCGAGGAACCAGCAACAGGUUGUAAUAUAGGAACAAUACGUGGGUCAUAUACUACAUGCGGGUGAUACUAAAUACUCACAUUGCGGUCCAGUAUGGUGUGUCCGGCGCCCGGUUUGCGUUAUCACUUGUACCAAACAUGAUGGCAUCCUAUGCGAAAAUCGGCCCAGGUACGCUUGCAUGUGGUAGAUGAUAUGGCCCAAUAAGUACCUGGCCAACAUUUUGCGCGCCUGUUGUUUUAGCCUGGACCCGCGCAUUUCGAAUCACUUAAUAUAGCCAGCCCGGGCGUGGCACAUAAAAGCAAAAACGUAAUUCGGAAGAUCUCGGUGUUUCGGCUGGGUCUAUUGCAUGCUCGACAGAAGUAUGGAGUUCGUCGACAUGGAGGGGCAGGUAAGGUAACAAUUUUGAAGCUAUGUUCUUGCAAUAUGGAGUUCUUCUAAUUGAGUAUUAUUUCUUUUUUUUCCAUCUUAGAUCAACAGCUAGUUUGAUUCCUGACUGCGCCGACGCGUCGCAAAGAGUUCGGGAUGUCUUGCAUGCGCCAUCAAAUUGUUGGUCAGGAUCAUCUAAGGCUUGCCAACGAAUGGAAGCACUGGCAGAAAAUAAUGGGCAGCAUGCAGCUGGUGCAGUGCUUGAAGCCUCAGGAAAUGUUGAAAUCAAUAGAUCCAUCGAAAACCUCGGCGAGGGCUCGGCUUCUUGUGCGGCUAGUGUCCAAGCUGGAUCUUGCGAUGUUCAUGUACCAGAUGCAAGUGGAGAAGCAACUUCAACAUGGAAACGAAGGUUGGUAACUAAAUCAAUUGUGUAUUGAAAUUAGAUUUGUGUUACAGACCAAAUGAUAAGAGAUUAUUAAGUUUUAUUUAGGUUAAUUUAAAACCAACGUAGGAUAAUUUUAAUUAUUUUACUUAGGUUGUUUGCUUAAAUAGAAACAACGAUGUAAAAAAAACUUAUUAGGAUGAUAUUUUGUGUGCUGGCGCAUGCAUGGGGUAUGGUUUGUGUGGUGGUCGUGCUAUAUGCAAAAUGAUGGCAUGGAGUUGAGAAGAAUGGCGUGGCGCAGCACGGUCUCGGCAACGGAUGUGUGACGACGCGCGUAGGGAGGUGGCGUUGUCUGACGUUGUGAUGGCGUCGCGUCGGUACAUGCUCUGAAGAUGGAUCGGUGGAAGAUGGCGGCAGCAGCCUCUGAAAGGGCAUCGAACCGGUGAGUGCCCUAGAGCAGGUGGUUUAGUUGGGCCUCGGGUUUUAGAUGUCAGGCAUUGGUGCGAGGUCUGUUUGGUAUUUGGCCCGGACUCUCGGCACCCCUUCAUCAGUUAGAUAGGAGUAGCGACAGAUGUUGGGAAGAUGGUGGCUUCAGACUUAUCGCUGUAUUUCUUUGUAAGGUAUUUGUGAAUAAUCAAUAAAAUGGCCGCAUGCAUCUUCCAGAUGCAGAGGCCGGGGGUCAUCCUCCUUUUUUAAAAAAAUUCAAAAUAACAUUACCAAGUGCAUAUAUUGUCAUCAAUACUACUGCUGCUGUUGCUACUAUCACAACCAUCCCCACUUUCGGGGGAUAGAAAACAUGUCUCAUCUUAGUUGGGUCUUCCGUAGAAUGCCUGGCAUGUGUUACUACCUCCGUCCAAGUUGGUCCUUCUUUCUAUUUUGAGUCAUACUUUGACCGUGCAUUUGACUAGUAAAAUAUAAGUGAUAUACCACCAAGAUUAUACUCUUAAAUUCAUAUUUGAAAGUACUGUCCAAUGGUAUUAUUUUCUGCCAAGUACUCUCUCUUUAGUGAUCUAAACGCUUUUAUAUUUCUUUAUAGAAGGAGUAUAACUUAUAUUUCAUUAGUAAAUUUUGUGGGCAAAUUUUGACCCAAAAUAUGAAGGAGACUAAUAAACUCGCAUAGAAGAAGCGUACUUGCAUGUGGUCCAGGCUCGGACCUACACAUAACGAAGCAUUUUGUCAAACAACAAAUAUAGCGAAGAAAUGGACUAAUUUUGUGAAUCAAAAUAUGAAUAAAUGGAACUGAAAAAACUGAAAUGAAAUACGACGAACACGUACGCUUGAUUACAAAACAUUUUAGAGGUAAUUACAACAGGGAGGAGGACGUGGUGCCUAGUUUUUUGCGGAACCCUCCUGGAAUAAUUUUCUUCUUACAAAAGAGCCCUCGGAUUGAAACAACACAAAUUGUAAUAAUAAAAACUUGUCAAGCUGGGUUUCAAACACUCGAUAUGUCACUCGCAUGUGGCCGUGCCUAGCCAAUAGACCAAAUCACAUGUACAUGACUGCAGAUAUUCGCAUACUUUAUAUACUAUGUCUGAUCAACAUAAAUGAAGAAAUUUAUUCCAGGAAAAAAGUACUGGGUCAAUGAUUCGCCCUAAGGCCAUAUAGCGGCCACAAAUAGCAAUCCAACCCACAAAAUGUAAUAUUAAAAGUAUAAAUUUCUCUUUGUAACAGAAUGUGCUCGUGUGGGUAAAACAACCGCAGUGCGGCCCAUUUUCAACAUGUUAGUUUUUUUCAUUUUAAAAGUUUAUAAAAAACCAUACACUAUAAUAAUGUGUUAAAAUUAUAUACACAAAGUUAAAAUUAAAUAAAUAAAUUUUUUCAUAAAAUAUGUAUGCAAUAAUUUAACAAAAAUAAACAUUAUUUAAUUACUAUAAUUAUGAAAAACAAUAUAAUUUUAAAAAGUGCUGGCAUUUUUAAUUAAAUUUUAAAGUAAUUUUAGAAAGUUUCAUAUAUUUAAAUAAAUUCUCUUAUAAGUUUAAAAUUUUACAUGUAUUUAAUAAAAUAUUCAUGUAGCAUAUAAAGUUUUCAUGCUUCAAGAAAAUGUUUGUGUUGUUUGAAAUUUAUAUAGUAUAUAAAAGAUUGUGUGUAUAAAAAAGAAGUAGCCUAGUGCGCCCUCAGAUUGCAGAUCCUCACAUGAAUAAUACUUGAAUUAUACAAACAUUUUUAUAAUUCAUAAAUAUUUUAAAUUAUAUGAAUAUGUUUUAAAAUAAAAUGAGAAUUCUUUUUAAAAUGACAUGUAAAAUGCAAGUCUCGGGUUCAUAGUGUGUAUAAAGCAUAUGAAUCCUUUCAUGACAACAUGUGUAAAUGUUCAAUUGGCUAACCACACUUGCAUGUUAAAUGCAAGUCUCGGGUUCGAACCUCCACCAGACCAGUUUUAUUUUUUCCUCUAUGAGGGCCCAUUUGUAAAAAUAAUAAUUUCAGGUGGUUUUCCAAAAAAACUAGGCCACACGCCCUAUUUCCUGCCGUCUAGUUGCUGACACUGAGCCCCAUGCCACGCUGGAAUGCCUUGUCAGCAUUGUGGAUGUAUAUACAUGAGAUUUGAACCGUGUUUGCACAUCCAUGCCAAGUUAUGAACCAGUUUGAUGUAUUUUUCAAGUUCAUGCACUAAAGUGAACAUCCAUGACAACUUCAGGCACCACCGGCGUAUUUACCUCAACAUUUUAUUAUGUCAAGCAGACAUUUAUUGCUGCACCAUUCAGACCUUGACGUUCUUGCAAGCCUCUAGUGAAAAACUGUAGAAGGCCAAGCUUGCACAAGAUAAAAUAACCUCAAAUUUUUGAAAAGCAACAUGAGCCUCUCACCACAAUUGAUGAAAAAUGUAAGACCGUUGAGCACACAAUUGAGAAGACACCCAUUGCAAGACAGAACAUUGAACUGUUUCUUCAUCGAAGGAUAUCGUACAAAAAAAAGGAGUUGAGAACACAUAUAAGGAACAUUAAUCGGAACAUGCUUGAGAGCACCAAUCCCGUUGUCACCACAAAACCAAGUCAAAGCACGAGACGACAAUUUGCGUGAUCAAGAACUAUGAAUCCGCAUCGGAAUGUGGGAGCUUUGGAAGCAUCGGAAUGCAAUUGUUUUCGACGGUGCGUCACCGUCGGUGGAGAGGCUCAUGGACAGGGUAAAAUCUGAGUGCGAGGUAUGAACAUCUGCGGGUCUGUUCAAAGGUAAGCUAGAGGGGUUCCUGGGUGGGUUACACCGGUGGAUGUGUAGGGAGGAGUAGGCUUGUGGGCGUUUGAGUGGAGUGGGUACGGGUCGUAAGGCCGUACUUGUGUGUGAUGUAAUCGUGGAGGCAUGCUUUGCCCUUCUUCUUUAAUAUAUGAUAUGCACACUCGUGCAUAUUCGAGAAAAAAGAACUAUGAAUCCGCGAAACUGAGACAUGUCGUGCCCCGGCUUGCCCAUGUCAAUAGCUAAGCCCACAAACUGAGGUGGACACAAUGAGCCAACCGGGAUGUUAGAUGUAAUGAUUUGGUUCGAUUUAGUAGCAUUUACCUUGUGGUUCAUUUGCCAUAUUAUUUGGAAGCAAGCUUGCCUGCUUGAUGAUAUUUGAUUACAUUUUUAUGUGUGUCUUCCUCACUUUUCCAUUCGUUCUUACAUAAUGUGGUCACCCGCUGCAAAUUAAAAACAUUUUUUCCAUAUUGGAAAAAAAGUGACACUUUCAACAAUGAUCAGAUGAAAUUUGAGAUACAUCAAAUUAGAUUUGCCUGAUCCUAUGCAAUGCAGGUGUAGUUACCCUUGGAGUGCACUACGUGCCACGCAAAAAUGGUGUUGCAGAUAGCUACAACAAAACGAAGAAGUUGAGUCAAUCAGUGAUCAUAUAAACUACUCCUAGUGUAGUGUCAAAAAUGUUCUUAUAUCAUGGGACGGAGGGAGUAGCAUAGUGAUGAAAUCUUCUGAGUUUAAACUGGAAACACCACCAAUUACCUCGGUAGUGGAGUACAAAAUUCCGCUGCAUGGUUGAUUUUCGUCGGUAGACAAUGGUUGUGUUCGUGGGCUCUUUCUUCCAGUGGGCCGAAUUUCAUUCGGUAUUACCUUUUAAGUUAGGUCACAUUGCACUUGACCGGUUCACCCACAGUGCGGCGGCCACAAAUCCCCUCAAGUUAGGGUUUCUUUUCCUCCAGGCGACGGCGAUCGCCUUGGAGACUUGCUCUACCCUGCCCCCCUUCCGUUCGCUCGCCGCCGGGGCCUGGCUCCGGGACGGCGACUCAAGGGAGACGCUAGGGAUCUACCGCUCGCGGAACAGGUUUAUUCUUUGGGCGAUAGUUUCAAGAUGUCAGAUCCGUCUUCAAGCUCGGGCGCGGCCUUGAGCGACAUGGAGGCGAUGAUGAAGGAAUUAGGGUUGAAGGAAGAUGAACUGGAAGAUGUGGUGAUCGAAGAAGAUGAACUCCCUGAGGAGGCUACAAGAUGGAUGGCUCUAGCCCGUGUCCAUACGGACAAACCCUACAGCCAGUACUGGUUUUUCCGCAACAUGCGUGUGGCAUGGGAUCUAGCGCAGGAGGUGAAUUUUCGCCCCCUUGAAGAUAACCUUUACACCCUUCAGUUUUCAUGCCUCGGUGACUGGGAACGUGUGAUGGAGGAGGGACCAUGGUCUUUCAAGGGGAAAUCGGUGGUGUUAGCACCAUAUGAUGGAUUCACAAAACCGUCCUUGAUUGAUCUGAACAAGGUGGAAAUAUGGAUCCAAAUCCACGAUCUGCCGGAAGGUUACUUCUGCAAGAUUAAAUCGCUGUCCUCGACAGUGGGAGAGUUUAUUUAUGCCGAGCCAAAAAUCUCAAGAUUUCGAAGGGAACUUCUGCAGAGUCCGUAUAAGGAUAGAUGUAAACAAGCCGCUCAAGAACGCGGUGUCUCUCGUCAUCAAGAGGCAGAAAGAGGUAGUCAGAGAGAUUUUUAGGGUCAAAUAUGAAAGACUCCCGGAUUGGUGCGCUGUAUGUGGUCAUCUGGGUCACAAGUAUAAGGAGUGUGGCAAUGGCAUCCACCCUCCUGAAAAAGUGGUGUUCAAGGAUCUUCAGGCUUCCUGGUUCAGAGGGCCAGGGCGCGGCCCAGGAGAAGGAAGGGGCUCGGGAGGUGGCCGUGGAAGGGGCCGAUCAAGCACUGGAAGAGGAAGAGGGAAUACCCAAGGACAGCAGGAUUAUGAGGUUGACCUCUCGAUGGGCAGGCAUGGAGAUUAUGAUAUGGAGGACGCGGAAGCAAACAGGAAGAGGGGAGCACCGCAAGACGCAGCCGUGAUGGUACCAGCUACUAUUCAAAAUCAAGUGGGCAACACUCUGCUUGCCCUGCCGCCUCCACCUGUAGCGAGCCCCUCUUCAAAACAAGAACCAAAAAGGAACAAACAAACUCCACAGAUCGUUGAGAAGGGGAAGGACAAGAAUGCAACAACAAACAAACCAACUGAUGCGCGCUUGGCGGGCCCCCUAGUGGGGCCGCGCCCCGCGCAAUGAGUAUACUAUGUUGGAACUGUCGCGGGGCUGGCAAACCCGCGACAGUUCGAGAGCUUCGCGACCUAGCGAAGCAGCAUGCCCCCUUUAUACUUUGUAUCUUAGAAACUCAAAUAGAGGGAACUCGUGUUGAGAAUUUAGUUGGUACUCUUGGUUUUGAUAAAAGUUAUGCAGUUAGUAGUUCUGGUAGAAGUGGGGGUCUUGGAAUUUUUUGGAAGGAUUCAAUAAAAGUUGAAGUUCUUGGUUAUUCUGAGUAUCACAUUGAUGUUGAUGUGGAUGAUAUUGUUGAUGAACAAAUUCGAGUGACCUUUGUCUAUGGGGAGGCGCAAGUCAACCAAAGAUAUAAAACGUGGGAUAUGCUACGAGGAAUCACAGGCAUAAGUACAUUACCAUGGAUAGCCAUGGGUGAUUUCAAUGAGGUAAUUCAUGCCCAUGAACAUGAUGGAGUAGCAAACCGAAGUCAGGCGCAGAUGGACUUGUUUCGGGAUGCUCUAGAUACAUGUGGGUUAACAGACAUCGGCUAUACAGGGACAAAUUGGAUGUUUGAGAAAAAGGUUUCAGGAGGGACCUACACUAGGGUUCGGCUGGAUAGAGGAGUUGGUAAUGCAGCAUUUGUAUCAGCUUUCCCUAAUGCAAACAUUGAGCAUAAAAGCGCAGCGUCGUCUGAUCAUCUAUUUUGCUCCGUUUGCGCGACGUGCAUGCAUGCAGCAGGGGCCCCCGUCCCUUUAAAUAUGAGUUGUGUUGGGAGCGGGACGAGGCGCUGCCUGGGGUUGUGGAGACCGGAUGGGCGAGAGUGGCAGGUGAUUCGGUGGAAUCUUUGCAUGGAAAGCUGCAGGGACUGUCGGCUGAUUUGACCCACUGGGAGCGUACCCACUUUGGCAGUGUGAGGCGAGAAAUCGACCAGCUUAAACGACAAGUGCAGAUUCUGCGUCAGAUCCCAGGCCGUACAGGACCAUGCCAUGCAGAAUUGAAAGCGACGGAUAGGCUGGUUGAACUACACCAUCGAGAGGAGAUUUUAUGGCGCCAAACAGCAAGGCUAGAGUGGCUGGCUCAUGGAGACAAAAACACUUAUUUUUUCCACCUCAGAGCAAGCAGAUGCCGAAGGAAAAACCAAAUCAAAGCACUCCAACGUCCAGAUGGGCAGAUGACUGAGAUUAAUAGUGAGAUGGAGGCUAUGACCACGGCUUUUUACAAGGAACUGUAUACCUCGGAGGGGACCCAUAACAUGGACCAGGUCUUAGAUACAGUACCAAGAAAGGUAACUUCGGAGAUGAAUCAGGUCUUGAAUGCGCCAUAUAAUCAUGAGGAAGUGAAAACCGCUUUGUUCCAGAUGUUCCCAACAAAAGCGCCGGGGCGGAUGGGUUUCCAGCCCACUUUUUCCAAAAACAUUGGGAUAUCUGCAAAGAAGAGGUUACAAAAGUGGUUAUAAAAAUUGUUGAAGGUCAGGAGUCAGCCGAAAGUAUAAAUGAGACGGUGCUUGUUUUGAUUCCGAAGGUAAAAAACCCCACGCUCCUUACUCAGUUCCGCCCUAUAAGUUUAUGCAACGUCCUUUACAAGAUAGCAUCCAAGGUGAUUUCUAACCGGCUAAAGUUAGUUUUGCCUGAUAUAAUAUCAGAGGAGCAAUCAGCCUUUGUUCCUGGGAGGUUAAUCACUGAUAACAUCAUAACUGCAUAUGAGUGUCUACACUUUAUGAAGCGGAACAAAGCGGAAAAGCAUCAGUCAUGUGCGUUGAAGCUUGAUAUGAUGAAGGCAUAUGAUAGACUGGAGUGGUCUUACCUACGAGCAAUCAUGCUCAAACUUGGCUUCACCAACAGAUGGGUGGACAUCGUAAUGAGCCUGGUAACCACGGUAAAGUUCUCGGUCAUGUUUAAUGGUAAGAGAUUGGAAGAAUUUAUACCAUCAAGAGGACUAAGACAAGGGGACCCAAUAUCUCCCUACUUGUUCUUGUUAGCAGCAGAGGGCCUAUCGUGCCUACUCAAAUCUAGAAGAGAGUCAUCCAAGUUGCAAGGUAUACAGGUGGCACCGUCGGCGCCACCGGUCAACCAUUUGCUAUUCGCUGAUGACAGCCUACUGUUUUUCAAGGCAAACGGUGAGGGAGCUAGCGAGGUGAACCUGGUUUUGGAUCAAUACUGUCAGGCCUCAGGCCAGAGAAUCAAUCAUGCUAAAUCUUCUAUUUUCUUUAGCAAGGGGGUGCCAGAAAGUACAACACAGGAAGUAAAAACCGGACUUAAUGUCCAGAACGAAACUUUGAACGAAAAGUACCUUGGGAUGCCAUCAGACAUUGGAGGUAGCAAGAAUGGUGCUUUUAAAUACCUAAAAGAUCGACUAUGGAGUAAGAUUCAGGGAUGGAUUGCACAGGCCCUGUCAUCUGCUGGAAAAGAAGUCCUUGUCAAAUAUGUUGCCUAGGCAGUGCUGGUCUUCUCCAUGUCUUGUUUCAAACUACCUAGAGGUUUAUGCGAGCACUUGAACAUGCUGAUCAGAAAGUUCUGGUGGGGGGCGAAAGAUGGCAAACGAAAACCUCAUUGGGUAUCAUGGAAAACAAUGUCACAACCAAAAGGUUUGGGAGGUUUGGGGUUUAAAGAUUUUGAGCUCUUUAAUCUAGCGAUGCUAGCUCGCCAGGCAUGGCGUCUAUUGCAGAAUCCAGGAUCACUAAGUGGUCGAAUUUUGAAAGCUGUGUACUUUCCGAACACCACAAUUUUGGAAGCUGUUUUGGGAAAUCAUCCGAGCCAAAUUUGGAGGGCCAUUAUAGAAGGAAGGGACACUCUGAAGCUGGGUUUAAUCAGGCGUAUUGGCAAUGGAAAUACAACGGAUAUAUGGAACGAUAAUUGGCUACCACGGGAUGAGAUGCUACGCCCGUAUGGAUGUAUAUCUCAGAACCGGCCCUCUUUAGUGUCCGAGCUGAUUGAUCCAACGUCGGCAACGUGGAUCAGGCAACGAGUUGAGGAGGUCUUUAUGCCAAUGGAUGUUUCGAUCAUUCUCGGAAUCCCCCUAUGUACAAGAAAUAUCCCAGAUUUUUGGAGUUGGAACUUUGAAAAGAAUGGCAAUUUCACAGUGAAGUCAACCUAUAGAAUGCUUGUUUCAACCAGGCAAAGGAGGGAGGCGUGGCUCGAGGCCACCGCUGGUUCAUCCCGAGUGAACUUGGAGGAAAAAUCAUGGAAAACCCUCUGGAAUACUAAGGUUCUGGGGAAGGUUAGGAUGUUCUUAUGGCGUCUCUCUAAACAUUCGAUCCCAACGAAUGAUGUUAGGGCCCAUAGACAUAUGACAGACUCAGCGGCUUGUGGCAUUUGUGGAGCACCGGAUUCAUGGAAGCAUUCUCUUGUCAACUGCACCAUGUCACGUUGUAUUUGGGCACUCGUUGAUGAAUAGCUGGCACAAAAGUUAGCAGAGACAACAGAGAUCAAUGCUAAGCAAUGGAUCUUCACUCUGAUGGAUCUAUUAUCCCAUGACUUGUUUGUUAAGCUUUCUGUUACGUUGUGGGCGAUAUGGUAUGCUCGCAGGAAGGCUAUCCAUGAAGGUAUAUUUUAAAGUCCCCAUGCAACUUAUUCGUUUAUCACCCGAUUCAUAGAAGAGCUAUCAAUCAUCUCGGAUAAACCUACUUCUGGAAGCGCUGCGCCUAAUAUUCAGGGCCAUGGCCAGCGCCCUAGUGCACCACCGACAGUGUAUCAUAAAGUACAUGUGGAUGCAGCAGUUCGUCAGGGAAGGGACGGCUCGGUUUCUGCAGUGUGCAGGGAUGGCAACGGAAACUUCAUUGGCAGUUCAUCAUUGGUGGUCGCGGGGAUACAGGACCCGGUCACUUUGGAGGCAAUGGCAGUCAGGGAAGCACUUGCACUUGGGGAAGAUCUUCAUAUAUCCAAUAUGGUUAUUUCUUCUGAUUGCAAGCAAGUUAUAGGAGACAUUCAGAAGGGCUCAGACGGAAGAUAUGGUGCCAUCGUUAAGGAGAUCAAACUGCAGGCAGCAACUUUUAAUUGCAUUUUUAAAUUUGAAAGUCGUAGAGUAAAUUUAGAAGCUCAUAGCUUAGCCAGGCAUUCGCUUACUCUUGGUUCGGGAUGCUACGUUUGGUUUGGCCAAUCCCACAACCAAAGAUGUAUCCCACACUCUAUGGUUUUUGAUGAAUAAAGCUUGGUUUUUCCCUUAGAAAAAAAAAAACCACAGUGCGGCGGCCGCUUCACCACCCCUCUCCCUCGCGAGAGAUGUUGCCGGCGGCGGCGGUGGCGGCGCUGCCGCUGGACGACGACAACGUGCUCUCCGAGAUCCUCCUCCGCCUCCCGCCGCUCCCGUCCUCCCUCCCCCGCGCCUCCGCCGUCUGCAGGCGCUGGCGCAGCCUCGCCUCCGACCCAGCCUUCUCCCGCCGCUUCCGCCUCCACCACCGCCGCAACCCUCCCCUCCUCGGUUACUUCUACGAAGAUUUUAACCAGAUUCGCUUCGAGCCUACUCUGGAGGCCCCCAAUCGUGUUCCACCCGAGCGCCUCUGCUUGCACUUUAACUCCCACUUCCGAUUGCUCGGGUGCCGCCCCAGCUCCUGCUGUGUGACCCCAUCACCGGCCACCAGCACUGCAUAGCCAUUCCACCUGGAUUUGAUCGGAUCAAGUCCUUGAUCAAUGGGGCGGUGCUCCGCUCUGCUGCCGGCGAGGUCCACUUCCAGUUCCAGGUCGCCUUGGUAGUGGCAAACGACAACAACAACAAGGUGCUCGCUUGCGUUUACUCGUCAGAGACCGGGGUGUGGGGUAAUCUCAUCUCCACAUCGAUUCCAUCCUGGAACUUCUUUCGUCCCAUGGUUUCUUCGCAGCCUGCGGUACUGGUUGGGGAUUCCCUUUACUGGAUACUUAAAGGUGGUUCGGAAUGUAUCCUUGAGUUCGAUUUGCAGAGUGAGAGCCUAGCCUUUGUACAGAUGCCAGUGGAUAGGAUUAAUGUCCCCUGCUAUACACCGAUGCGGGCAGAUGAUGGUGAGCUGGGUUUACUCUCCGUGACUGGCACCACCGCCCAAUUAUGGAAGAGGAAGGCCGGUUGUGAUGGUGCUACACCAUGGUGGGUGGGAAGAACUAUUGAGCUGGACAAGCUACUUUCUCUGGAUUCAGGGGAGUCUACAUGGAUACAAGGGUUCGCUGAGGACAAGAAUUUGGUGUUCCUGUGUGCUGGCAGCAGCAACUUCACGGUCCAACUCGAAUCUUUGCAGUUGAAGAAACUUUCCAACCCCAGAAUGGAUCGCUAUCAUCCAUUUGGAAGUGUCUAUGCUGCAGGUAACAACAAUGCCUUUACACUGCCGGUAUAACAAAACCAAGUUAAUUUUCAAUAAAUGGUUGAUGGAAUGGCUUUCACAUCCUUUAUAUGAAUGAAACUAACAAUUUUAACUAGUAUCAUAUUAAUUAUUCUCUUGUUUGAUGAUCUCUUCAACCUAUGGCAAUGGUGCUAUGCAGUGUUCUCUCCCCAUGCUUGUGUGGUGGCGUUAUCUGUACUUGUUAUGAUCUGGAAUUUUGUUUUGCUUGCUGUAUCUGGUUCAUUUGUGUCUGGAGUACUGCUUCUGUAGCCAAGAUUGGCAACUUCGUUGUAAUAAUUGAACUAAACUUCGUAGUUGCCUGCCUAUUGACACAUGCAAGAACUGUAUAAUUACAGUGCUCGUGUAUAUCUGCAGCGCUGUUUUUCUGAAGAUAAUAUUUAACAGUUGAUAGCUUCGUACUAGGAUGUUGAACAACGAAAUUUAGCUGUAGGCUGUAGCUAUGCUUUUUGUGCAGCCUAAUAAUUUGUUUGAUUUGGCCACCAUAGGCAACUAAUACAUUAUACCGAACACUUGAGUAAAGUGAUAAGACUGAAUUUAUCCAAAUAACUGAUUACGCCAUGAACUACAGUCUUUAUUUUUACUAAUAUAUUAUCAUCAGAAGUAGCGGUCAAGAUAUUGUAUUUAAUGAUGUCCAGUGUAAAGAAAUGGCAUAUAUUUUAGACCGAAGAGAGCAUUAAGAUGGCGUACAAUCCCUUGCUUGAGGCUUCUACAACAUGAAUUUGAUUAAUUCAAUCAGUUAGUGGCUAGCUACCUCCAGGUGCUAUUAGAGAACAAUUAGCAGAUUUAGAUUUGCGAAUUAUUUUAGAGACUUCCUUGGUUCAACAAAAGGAAUUAGAAGACGAGGGGUAUAGUGGAGAUGAAUUGGAAGAUAGAAAAAAGAUGAAUAAGAAAAGUUUUUUUAUUAGAUGCGUGUACAUUUCUAAAAAUUAUCCACAUGAGCUAGAAACCAGAUGUUUCUGCUUUUCUACUCCUUGAGCCCCUCAUAUGUCCAUCGUUAUUAAGAAUGUGUCAAAGAUUUGGUAAGUUAGUUGGUUCAGCAUUUGCCCUCUGGCGAAAAUACCCUGGAAUGUGCUAGCAGUAGAACUUGAAAGUGUGCCACUACACUACGAAAUGCCUAGUGAUAAUCCAUGUUUCUAUUGUUUUACCCCCUAACCAUGUUGAGAUGAUUCAGCUUUGGUGUUUUUGGCAGAAUUUCCUUAUGGUGAAUGAAGCUAUUUUUUACUGAUUGAAUCAAUCCUUGGUGUUCUUUUACUGAUACACACGAGUUCGCCGGCAACCGCUGCCAAUCCUUGGUGUUUUUUGUGUUCGGCCCCCCAGGAUCUGCUUUUGUCACUCAUCUGCCCUCGCCCGUUCCUCUCAUCAGAACAGAAGUAAUCAACCUUGGACAGCGGCGGCCGCCUGAUGAUCGUCGGCAGGUCCAGCACGUGAAUGGCAGAGGAACGAAGCAGCUCGCCGCCGCCGCAUCUGCCGGCGCCGAUGGGUGCCCUGAUACGGUGGCUGGACGAGGUUGCGGCUCCGGCGUAAUGUUUUUUUUUUGUUAAGAUCGAGUCAUUCCCAAGUGGAUUAAGCAAUGAUUUCUAGUUCCCCUACGGUCUGCUGUUCGAUUUCAUGGAAUUUCAUACGCAUUACACUAGGGUUUAUUGAAUGUAGGGUUCCUGAAAGUGAGCCCUUGCCAUGUUUGAUCAUGCUCUGUUUUAAGUGAGCGACUAACUUGCUUAAUUAUGCUCUGUUUCAGGGAAAUACAGCCCUUUUUUCACUCGUGGGGAGGCUGCAAGGCAACAAGCUUGGGACAUGCAGAAUAACCAAGAGGACACAAACUGCAGCAAGUAGUUCAAACGCAGAGGAGGAGGAAAGAUACAUUCAUGCCAAUCUCAGAGAAACAAGCCAAAGAAAAUAGGUGCAUCUUCAAAUCAGACCAGGCUAGGCUUGAAGAAACCUACAAGGGUUAGCAUGUUUGAUGAAUUUAGGUGAGCAGAAAUCUCUAGUCGUCAGAAAUGGGGAUCUUCAUGACUUUUGUGUUUCUACUUACUGUAUGAUAAGAUGCAGAGCUUGUAAUUAAUGGCUAUGUUUUGUUUAUGAUCAUUGUGCUGAUCAUAAGACUAGUAAAUUUGUGAACCUAGUAUGUACUGUUCAGGUUCAGAACUUAUGCUCUUGUACUACAUGUUCACUUCAUAUGUGUUGUCAG
RNAcentral lists this long non-coding RNA (53010 nucleotides) under Triticum aestivum (bread wheat). RNAcentral's name for it is "long non-coding RNA (TAES_LNC012917)". The stretch from base 30378 to 30502 matches the Rfam family "MIR1120/MIR1122 microRNA precursor family". The record is from RNAcentral. Lineage: Eukaryota; Viridiplantae; Streptophyta; Magnoliopsida; Poales; Poaceae.